RNAcentral lists this long non-coding RNA (45161 nucleotides) under Triticum aestivum (bread wheat). RNAcentral's name for it is "long non-coding RNA (TAES_LNC018427)". Lineage: Eukaryota; Viridiplantae; Streptophyta; Magnoliopsida; Poales; Poaceae. The record is from RNAcentral.
UUUUUUAUAGAAUAUGAUGUUUUUUUCAUAGAUGAUCACAUAUAUGAUGUAUGCAUGGAUGUGGAGGAAAUAUGAUGUUUUUUUGUUCAUAGAACAUGAUGAAAUAUGAACAAUGCAUUAGGCAAAACCUUUACUUUUUUCGAAAUAUGAACAUGAUGAAAUAUGAACAAUGAUGAAAUAGGAAGAGAGGAGAAGAAGAGAGAGGAAGAAGAGGAGAAAUAAAUAAGAAGAGGAAAAAAGAAGAAAAAGAACAGGAGAAGAAGAAAGGAAUAGAAGAGAAGAAGAAAAAAUAGAAAAAAAAUCUAUUUUUUUCUUCUUCUCUCCUCUAUUCCUUUCUUCUUCUCCUCUUUUUUUUCUUCUUUUUUUUCUUCGAUCUUCUCCUCUAUUCCUUUUCUUCUUCUCCUCUUUUUAUUUCUUCUUUGUUUUCUUAUGUUUUAUCGGGUCUGUCAUCGUCUAUAUACCCCUCUCCCGAUAACAACAACACGAGGGGGGUCGAUAUACCCCCUCCCUGAUAAUAUUAUUUUCCCAUGUACGUAUGUCGUCGUUGUCGAUAUAACCCCCUCCCGAUAACUUCAACACGUGGGGGGGUCGAUAUACCCCCUCCCCGAUAGCAUUAUUUUCCCAUGUAUGUAUUUCGUCGUUGUCGAUAUAUAUAACUCCCUCCCAGAUAACUUCGACAUGAUGGAUGGUCGAUAUUUAUACCCCCUCUCGACCGUGAUAACCUAUACCACGGGAGCACCCCCGGGCCCUCUCGCUCGGCCAAAACUCUCGAGGACACCCAAACCCUAGAAAAAAACGAUGUCCUUCUCCUACCCCCUCCCGCCGUGCCCCUACCCUUGAAGCGUUGCCGAGGCCACCCCAAACCCAGAAUAAGCUAGGUCUACGUUUGCACUAACCACCUGCUGUCAUGUUUGUGUAAUAAUUGCCAUGUUGUAAUAUUUGCAGCAACAAUGCAGCACGGAAGAGACGAGCAAGCAGAAGAGGUGUUGGGGGACAUAAUGUUAGCCGGAGGUGAUAUCUUGUCGUAUCUUAAUGACAAUGAUGGUCUGGAAGAACAGGGUGAAGAAGCAGGCUACGGUGAUCGAAUAGUGGAGGAGGAAAGACAUGAUUAUGAUGGCUCCGGUUACCCAAUGCUGGUGCAAGAAGGAGCCCGUGGUGACGGCUCCGGUAACCGAACAGAGUCCGGCCAGGUAAAUAUAUUAGUUAAGCAUGUGCUGACUAGCUAAUUGAUGCAUUCAUUGUUUUGGUAUGUACGGAUAUUAAUUAACACUCGUCUUUCUUCUUUUUUCUAGCCCUCCGGAUCGAGCACAACUUCGCUAAAGAGACGAGGCCCGACGAGAAAGUUGCGCUCGGAUGAAAGGUUUGAGAUCACAGCAAUCGCGCGUGACGGCCAACCGAUUGAACCCAUCCAGACAAAGGAAGCAUUUGCUGCUCAGUGCGGUCUUCUAGUUAGGGACAAGAUCCCGAUCAGCAUCCACCAAUGGUAUAAGCCUAAGAAGGAAGACCCUGAGGUGUCUUAUGUCAAUGAUAUGCAGAAAGAUGAUCUUUGGACUAAGCUGAAGGCAAAUUUCACCCUACCGCCAGAGGAGGAUCCGGAGAAGCCAGUUAAAGAGCAAUUAAUCAAGUCUCAUGCUCUUAAGAAGAUGGUAGACCUAUUCAGGAGGUGGAAGAAUGAGCUGAAAAUGUUUGUCGACAAAGAAGAGACACCAGAAUUCAUCGGCCGGUAUGAGAAGAUCAGAGAUCACUGGCCCGCAUUUGUGGCCCACAAGACAUCGGAAAAGAGUAAGAAGAUGUCAGCGACAAACAAGAAGAAUGCUGCGAAGAAGAAGCUUCACCAUCGCACGGGGUCAGGUGGCUACCUCAAAGCCCGGCCUAAGUGCGCCAAGGCUGAGAAUGAUCUGCUUGAAAAAGGGACCGAACCACAGACAAUGAACUGGACAGACCGUUGCCGGACUUGGUUCUUCGGGGCUGGCGGAACCUUGGACCCUGUAUCAGGGAGGUGCGUUUGGACGAACGAGCUUUUGAGAAUACCAGUCAAGAAGAUUCAGCAAGAUAUCGAUGCAGCGCAGCAAGGGACGUUCGUUCCAGACAGAGAGAACGACGAGCUCACAAUGGCCCUCGGGAAUCCUGAGCACCCUGGACGGACCAGGAGAGGAGGAAAAAAGUGGAGCAGAUCCAAAAUCAGAAGCUGCACGAAAGGGUUCAAGUGCUAGAGGAACGAGACGGCAAUCGACAUGCCGAAACUACCCCCGAAGCUACACCGCCAUCUCAGCGGAGAAGCAGCGUGGCUUCCACCGAGCUGCUUCAGCUGGAGCAUGUCUUCACGGCUCCUGCUAGCUACCCCGUGGAUGCUAUCACGAAGUCUCAACAUUGCCACCUUAUGGCGCAAUGGCAGAACUUCAAAGUCAAGGCGGCUAUUGGCUCUGUUUUACCUCCUGAACCCGGCGCAACCUACCACUACCGGCCGAUUCCAGAAGGAUAUGCUAGGGUGAUGGUGGAUGAAAUAACGGAGGGAUUUGAGGACCUCCAGCUUGACCACCCUACCGGUGAAGGGGAGACUAUGCCUAUGGCGGAAGGAGCUUAUCAACCUUCCGAACUGGACGGCUCCGGCGAGUAAGGGCACUCCGCCUCCUCCUCCGCCUCCUCCUCCGGCGAGUGAUCAGGGCACUCAGCCUCCUUCUCCGGCGCAUGGCGGCACUCCGCCUCCUCCUCCGCCUCCUCCUCCGGCGAGUGAUCAGGGCACUCAGCCUCCUUCUCCGGCGCGUGGCGGCACUCCGCCUCCAUCUCCGCCUGCGCCGGUGCGCCAGAGCAGCCAGCCUCCUCCUUCUCCGCCUCGUCAGCAAGGGCGGAAGAGACCCGCCGGCGCGUCGUAGUCCUUCUCCUCCGCCUCGUAAGCAAGGAAAGAAGACAGCCGCAGCCACUCCGUCUGCUCUGCCGGCGUCUAGCAGUACAGCUGCCAGAGGCGGGAGGCAAUAAAGAUUCGGUCCUUCUCUGAAGACUCCAGAGAAGUUACCAUACGAGAGGACCGAGGAGGAAACCAGGGAGAUCGUGCGAGCCGAAGUGACAAACUUCUUUGAAGGGGUGAAAGCAAAGAAACAUCCACAUCCGGAGGAGAAGGUAGAUCCGGUGAAAGCAAAGCGCACUCUGGCUUCCCUGACAAAACCACCAAAGUCUCUGCCGAGAGGCAACUAUGAGCGCAUUCUUGCAAAGACAUAUGCCGAAGCGGAGCGGUCGGGAAGUACUGUCAGUGAUAAGAGGUUAAAAGAACGACGAGCUAGGAAAAAAAUUGCCCAGCUCGGCGAACAAGCGAACCAAUCGUGCCCCCCGCUCAAGGUGUCAAAAGACAUCGUUGCUAAUGAUCCGAGGAUGGUGGUGAAGGAAAUAUGCCCUAGAGGCAAUAAUAAAGUUAUUAUUUAUUUCCUUAUAUCAUGAUAAAUGUUUAUUAUUCAUGCUAGAAUUGUAUUAACCGGAAACAUAAUACAUGUGUGAAUACAUAGACAAACAGAGUGUCACUAGUAUGCCUCUACUUGACUAGCUCGUUAAUCAAAGAUGGUUAUGUUUCCUAGCCAUAGACAUAAGUUGUCAUUUGAUUAACGAGAUCACCUCAUUAGGAGAAUGACGUGAUUGACUUGACCCAUUCCGUUAGCUUAGCACCCGAUCGUUUAGUAUGUUGCUAUUGCGUUCUUCAUGACUUAUACAUGUUCCUCUGACUAUGAGAUUAUGCAACUCCCGUUUACCGGAGAAACACUUUGUGUGCUACCAAAUGGCACUACGUAAAUGGGUGAUUAUAAAGGUGCUCUACAGGUGUCUCCAAAGGUACUUGUUGGGUUGGCGUAUUUCGAGAUUAGGAUUUGUCACUCCGAUUGUCGGAGAGGUAUCUCUGGGCCCACUCGGUAAUGCACAUCACUAUAAGCCUUGCAAGCAUUGUGACUAAUAAGUUAGUUGCGGGAUGAUGUGUUACGGAACGAGUAAAGAGACUUGCCGGUAACGAGAUUGAACUAGGUAUCGAGAUACCGACGAUCGAAUCUCGGGCAAGUAACAUACUGAUGACAAAGGGAACAACGUAUGUUGUUAUGCGGUCUGACCGAUAAUGAUCUUCGUAGAAUAUGUGGGAGCCAAUAUGGGCAUCCAGGUCCCGUUAUUGGUUAUUGACCGGAGACGUGUCUCGGUCAUGUCUACAUAGUUCUCGAACCCGUAGGGUCCGCACGCUUAAAGUUACGAUGACAGUUUUAUUAUGAGUGUAUGUAUGUUGAUGUACCGAAGGAGUUCGGAGUCCCGGAUGAGAUCGGGGACAUGACGAGGAGUCUCAAAAUGGUCGAGACGUAAAGAUCGAUAUAUUGGACGACUAUAUUCGGACUUCGGAAAGGUUCCGAAUGAUUCGGGUAUUUUUCGGAGUACCGGAGAGUUACGGGAAUACGUAUUGGGCCUUAUUGGGCCAUACGGGAAAGAAGAAAAAGGGCCUCAAGGGUGGCCGCACCCCUACCCUUGGUCUUGUCCGAAUUGGACUAGGGAAGGGGGGCGCCCCUUCCUUCCUUCUCUUUUUCCCUUCCUCUUUUCCUAUUCCAUAUGGGAGGUGGAAUCCUACUAGGACUAGGGAGUCCUAGUAGGACUCCACACUUGGUGCGCCCCCUCCUAGGGCCGGCCUCCUCCUCCCUUGCUCCUUUAUAUACGGGGGCAGGGGGGCAUCCCAGAGACACAACAAUUGAUCCUUGAGAUCUUUUAGCCGUGUGCGGUGCCCCCCUCCACCAAAUUACACCUCGAUAAUAUCAUUGCGGAGCUUAGGCGAAGCCCUGCGUCGGUAGAACAUCAUCACCGUCACCACGCCGUCGUGCUGACGAAACUCUCCCUCAACACUCGGCUGGAUCAGAGUUCGAGGGACGUCAUCGAGCUGAACGUGUGUAGAACUCGGAGGUGCCGUGCGUUCGGUACUUGAUCGGUCGGAUCGUGAAAACGUACGACUACAUCAACCGCGUUGUGAUAACGCUUCCGCUGUCGGUCUACGAGGGUACGUGGACAACACUCUCCCCUCUCGUUGCUAUGCAUCACCAUGAUCUUGCGUGUGCGUAGGAAAUUUUUUGAAAUUACCACGUUCCCCAAUAGUGGCAUCCGAGCCUGGUUUUAUGCGUUGAUGCUAUGCACGAGUAGAACACAAGUGAGUUGUGGGCGAUAUAAGUCAUACUGCUUACCAGCAUGUCAUACUUUGGUUCAGCGGUAUUGUGAGAUGAAGUGGCCUGGACCAACAUUACCCGUACGCUUACGCGAGACUGAUUUCACCGUUCGGAGCACUCGUUGCUUAAAGGUGACUGGCGGGUGUCUGUCUAUCUCACUUUAGUUGAACCGAGUGUGGCUACGCCCGGUCCUUGCGAAGGUUAAAACGGCACCAACUUGACACUAUCGUUGUGGUUUUGAUGCGUAGGUAAGAACGGUUCUUGCUAAGCCCGUAGCAGCCACGUAAAACUUGCAACAACAAAGUAGAGGACGUCUAACUUGUUUUUGCAGGGCAUGUUGUGAUGUGAUAUGGUCAAGACAUGAUGUGAUAUAAUGUGUUGUAUGAGAUGAUCAUGUUUUGUAACCGAGUUAUCGGCAACUGGCAGGAGCCAUAUGGUUGUCGCUUUAUUGUAUGAGAUGCAAUCGCCAUGUAAUAGUUUUACUUUAUCACUAAGCGGUAGCGAUAGUCGUAAAAGCAAUAAGUUGGCGAGACGACAACGAUGCUACGAUGGAGAUCAAGGUGUCGCGCCGGUGACGAUGGUGAUCAUGACGGUGCUUCGGAGAUGGAGAUCACAAGCACGGUGCUUCAAAGAUGGAGAUCACAAGCACAAGAUGAUGAUGGCCAUAUCAUAUCACUUAUAUUGAUUGUAUGUGAUGUUAAUCCUUUAUGCAUCUUAUCUUGCUUUGAUUGACGGUAGCAUUAUAAGAUGAUCUCUCACUAAAAUUUCAAGAUAAAAGUGUUCUCCCUGAGUAUGCACCGUUGCAAAAGUUCUUCGUGCUCAGACACCACGUGUUAAUCGGGUGUGAUAGGCUCUACGUUCAAAUACAACGGGUGCAAAACAGUUGUACACGCGGAUUACUCAGGUUAAACUUGACGAGCCUAGCAUAUACAGAUAUGGCCUCGGAACACAGAGACCGAAAGGUUGAGCGUGAAUAAUAUAGUAGAUAUGAUCAACAUAGUGAUGUUCACCAUUGAAACUACUCCAUCUCACGUGUUAAUCGGACAUGGUUUAGUUGCUUUGGAUCACGUAAUCACUUAGAUGAUUAGAGAGAUGUCUAUCUAAGUGGGAGUUCUUAAGUAAUAUGAUUAAUUGAACUUAAAUUUAUCAUGAACUUAGUCCUGAUAGUAUUUUGCAAAUUAUGUUGUAGAUCAGUAGCUCGCGUUGUUGCUUCCCUGUGUUUAUUUUUUGUUCCUAGAGAAAAAUUAUGUUGAAAGAUGUUAGUAGCAAAGAUGCGGAUUGGAUCCGUGAUCUGAGGAUUAUCCUCAUUGCUGCACAGAAAAAUUAUGUCCUUGAUGCACCGCUAGGUGACAGAUCUAUUGCAGGAGCAGAUGCAGACGUUAUGAACGUUUGGCUAGCUCAAUAUGAUGACUACUUGAUAGUUUAGUGCACCAUGCUUAACGGCUUAGAAUCGGGACUUCAAAGACGUUUUGAACUUCAUGGACCAUAUGAGAUGUUCCAGGAGUUGAAGUUAAUAUUUCAAGCAAAUACCCGAGUUGAGAGAUAUGAAAUCUCCAACAAGUUCUAUAGCAAAAAGAUGGAGGAGAAUCGCUCAACUAGUGAGCAUGUGCUCAGAUUGUCUGGGUACUACAAUCGCUUGAAUCAAGUGGGAGUUUAUCUUCCAGAUAAAAUAGUGAUUGACAGAAUUCUCUAGUCACCAUCACCAAGUUAGUAGAACUUUGUGAUGAACUAUGGUAUGCAAGGGAUGACGAAAGUAAUUCCCGAGCUCUUCGUGAUGCUGAAAUCGACGAAGGUAGAAAUCAAGAAAAACAUCAAGUGUUGAUGGUUGACGAGACCACUUCAAGUGUUGAUGGUUGACGAGACCGCUAGUUUCAAGAAAAGGGCAAAGGGAAAAAGGGGAACUUCAAAAAGAACGGCAAGCAAGUUGCUGCUCAAGUGAAGAAGCCUAAGUCUGGUCCUAAGCCUGAGACUAAGUGCUUCUACUGCAAACGGACUAGUCACUGGAAGCGGAACUACCCCAACUAUUUGGUGGAUAAGAAGGAUGGCAAAGUGAACAAAGGUAUAUUUGAUAUACAGAUUAUUGAUGUGUACUUUACUAGUGUUUAUAGAAACCCCUCGGUAAUUGAUAUUGGUUCAGUUGCUAAAGAGUAGUAACUCGAAAACGGGAGUUGCAGAAUAAACAGAGACUAGUAAAAGGCGAGGUGACGAUGUGUGUUGGAAGUAGUUCCAAGAUUGAUAUGAUCAUCAUCGCACACUCCCUGUACUUUCGGGAUUAGUGUUGAAACUAAAUAAGUGUUAUUUGGUGUUUGCGUUGAGCAUGAAUAUGAUCUGAUCAUGUUUAUUGCAAUACGGUUAUUCAUUUAAGUUAGAGAACAAUUGUUGUUCUGUUUACAUGAAUAAAACCUUUAUGGUCAUACACACCAACGAAAAUUGUUUGUUGGAUCUCGAUCGUAGUGAUACACAUAUUCAUAAUAUUGAAGCCAAAAGAUGCAAAGUUAAUAAUGAUAGUGCAACUUAUUUGUGGUACUGCCGUUUAGGUCAUAUUGGUGUAAAGCGCAUGAAGAAACUCCAUACUGAUGGGAUUUUGGAAUCACUUGAUUAUGAAUCACUUGAUGCUUGCGAACCUUGCCUCAUGGGCAAGAUGACUAAAACGCCGUUCUCCGGAACUAUGAAGAGAGCAACAGAUUUGUUGGAAAUCAUACAUACAGAUGUAUGUGGUCCGAUGAAUAUUGAGGCUCGUAGUAGGUAUCAUUAUUUUCUGACCUUCAUAGAUGAUUUGAGCAGAUAUGGGUAUAUCUACUUGAUGAAACACAAAGUCUGAAACAUUUGAAAAGUUCAAAGAAUUUCAGAGUGAAGUGGAGAAUCAUCGUAACAAGAAAAUAAAAGUUUCUACAAUAUGAUUGCAGAGGUAAAAUAUUUGAGUUACGAGUUUGGCCUUCAGUUAAAACAAUGUGAAAUAGUUUCACUACUCACGCCACCUGGAACACCACAGUGUAAUGGUGUGUCCGAACGUCAUAACCGUACUUUAUUGGAUAUAGUGCAAUCUAAGAUGUCACUUACCAAUUUACCACUAUCUUUUUGGGUUAUGCAUUAGAGACAGCUACAUUCACGUUAAAUAGGGCACCAUCAAAAUCCGUUGAGACGACGCCUUAUGAACUGUGGUUUGGCAAGAAACCAAAGUUGCCGUUUCUUAAAAUUUUGGGGUUGCGAUGCUUAUGUGAAUAAAUUUCAUCCUGAUAAGCUCAAACCCAAAUAGGAGAAAUGUGUCUUCAUAGGAUACCCAAAGGAGACAGUUGGGUACACCUUCUAUCACAGAUCCGAAGGCAAGACAUUCGUUGCUAAGUAUGGAUCCUUUCUAGAGAAGGAGUUUCUCUCGAAAGAUGUGAGUGGGAGGAAAGUAGAACUUGAUGAGGUAACUGUACCUGCUCCCUUAUUGGAUCACAGAAAUCUGUUCCUGUGACUUCUACACCAAUUAGUGAGGAAGUUAAUGAUGAUGAUCAUGUAACUUCAGAUCAAGUUACUACCAAACCUCGUAGGUAAACCAGAGUAAGACCCGCACCAGAGUGGUACGGUAAUCCUGUUCUGGAGGUUAUGUUACUAGACCAUGACGAACCUACAAACUAUGAAGAAGCGAUGGUGAGCCCAGAUUCCGCAAAAUGGCUUGAGGCCAUGAAAUCUGAGAUGAGAUCCAUGUAUGAGAACAAAGUGUGGACUUUGGUUGACUUGCCCGAUGAUCGGCAAGCAAUUGAGAAUAAAUGGAUUGUCAAGAGGAAGACGGACGCUGAUAGUAGUAUCACUAUCUACAAAGCUAGAAUUGUCGCAAAAAGGUUUUUGACAAGUUCAAGAUGUUGACUACGAUGAGAUUUUCUCACGCGUAUCUAUGCUUAAGUCUGUCCGAAUCAUGUUAGCAAUUGCCGCAUUUUAUGAAAUCUGGCAAAAGGAUAAACAAAACUGCAUUCCUUGAUGGAUUUAUUAAAGAAGAGUUGUAUAUGAUACAACCAGAAGGUUUUGUCAAUCCUAAAGGUGCUAACAAAAUAUGCAAGCUCCAGCGAUCCAUCAAUGGACUGGUGCAAGCAUCUCGGAGUUGGAAUAUACGCUUUGAUAAGUUGAUCAAAGCAUAUAGUUGUACACAUACUUGCGGUGAAGCCUGUAUUUACAAGAAAGUGAGUGGGAGCACUACAACAUUUCUGAUAAGUAUAUGUGAAUGACAUAUUGUUGAUCGGAAAUAAUGUAGAAUUAUUCUGCAAAGCAUAAAUGAGUGUUUGAAAGGAGUUUUUCAAAGAUAGACCUCGGUGAAGCUGCUUACAUAUUGAGCAUCAAGAUCUAUAGAGAUAGAUGAAGACGCUUGAUAAGUUUUUCAAUGAGUACAUACCUUAACAAGAUUUUGAAGUAGUUCAAAAUAGAACAGUCAAAGAAAAGAGUUCUUGCCUAUGUUACAAGGUGUGAAAUUGAGUAAAGACUCAAAGCCCGACCACGGCAAAAGAUAGAAAGAGAAUGAAAGUCAUUCCCUAUGCCUUGGCCAUAGGUUCUAUAAAGUAUGCCAUGCUGUGUACCAGAUCUAUUGUAUACCCUACACUGAUUUUGGCAAGGGAGUACAAUAGUGAUCUAGGAGUAGAUCACUGGACAGCGGUCAAAAUUAUCCUUACUGGAAUAAGGAUAUGUUUCUCGAUUAUGGAAGUGACAAAAGGCUCGUCGUAAAAGGUUACGUCGAUGCAAGUUUUGACACUAAUCUAGAUGACUCUAAGUCUCGGUCUAGAUACAUAUUGAAAGUGGGAGCAAUUAGCUAGAGUAGCUCCAUGCAGAGCAUUGUAGACAUAGAAAUUUGCAAAAUACUUACGGAUCUGAAUGUGACAGACCCGUUGCCUAAAAUUAUCUCACAAGCAAAACAUGAUCACACCUUAGUACUCUUUGGGUGUUAAUCACAUAGCGAUGUGAACUAGAUUACUGACUCUAGUAAACCCUUUGGGUGAUGGUCACAUGACGAUGUGAACCAUGGGUGUUAAUCACAUGGUGAUGUGAACUAUUCAUGUUAAAUCACAUGGCGAUGUGAACUAGAUUAUUGACUCUAGUGCAAGUGGGGGACUGAAGGAAAUAUGCCCUAGAGGCAAUAAUAAAGUUAUUGUUUAUUUCCUUAUAUCAUGAUAAAUGUUUAUUAUUCAUGCUAGAAUUGUAUUAACCGGAAACAUAAUACAUGUGUGAAUACAUAGACAAACAGAGUGUCACUAGUAUGCCUCUACUUGACUAGCUCGUUAAUCAAAGAUGGUUAUGUUUCCUAGCCAUAGACAUAAGUUGUCAUUUGAUUAACGAGAUCACCUCAUUAGGAGAAUGACGUGAUUGACUUGACCCAUUCCGUUAGCUUAGCACCCGAUCGUUUAGUAUGUUGCUAUUGCGUUCUUCAUGACUUAUACAUGUUCCUCUGACUAUGAGAUUAUGCAACUCCCGUUUACCGGAGGAACACUUUGUGUGCUACCAAACGUCACAACGUAAAUGGGUGAUUAUAAAGGUGCUCUACAGGUGUCUCCAAAGGUACUUGUUGGGUUGGCGUAUUUCGAGAUUAGGAUUUGUCACUCCGAUUGUCGGAGAGGUAUCUCUGGGCCCACUCGGUAAUGCACAUCACUAUAAGCCUUGCAAGCAUUGUGACUAAUAAGUUAGUUGCGGGAUGAUGUGUUACGGAACGAGUAAAGAGACUUGCCGCUAACGAGAUUGAACUAGGUAUCGAGAUACCGACGAUCGAAUCUCGGGCAAGUAACAUACUGAUGACAAAGGGAACAACGUAUGUUGUUAUGCGGUCUGACCGAUAAAGAUCUUCGUAGAAUAUGUGGGAGCCAAUAUGGGCAUCCAGGUCCCGUUAUUGGUUAUUGACCGGAGACGUGUCUCGGUCAUGUCUACAUAGUUCUCGAACCCGUAGGGUCCGCACGCUUAAAGUUACGAUGACAGUUUUAUUAUGAGUUUAUGUAUGUUGAUGUACCGAAAGAGUUCGGAGCCACGGAUGAGAUCGGGGACAUGACGAGGAGUCUCGAAAUGGUCGAGACAUAAAGAUCGAUAUAUUGGACGACUAUAUUCGGACUUCGCAAAGGUUCCGAGUGAUUCGGGUAUUUUUCGGAGUACCGGAGAGUUACGGGAAUACGUAUUGGGCCUUAUUGGGCCAUACGGGAAAGAAGAAAAAGGGCCUCAAGGGUGGCCGCACCCCUCCCCUUGGUCUGGUCCGAAUUGGACUAGGGAAGGGGGGCGCCCCCUUCCUUCCUUCUCUUUUUCCCUUCCUCUUUUCCUAUUCUAUAUGGGAGGUGGAAUCCUACUAGGACUCCACACUUGGUGCGCCCCCUCCUAGGGCCGGCCUCCUCCUCCCUUGCUCCUUUAUAUACGGGGGCAGGGGGGCACCCCAGAGACACAACAAUUGAUCCUUGAGAUUUUUUAGCCGUGUGCGGUGCCCCCUCCACCAAAUUACACCUCGAUAAUAUCAUUGCGGAGCUUAGGCGAAGCCCUGCGUCGGUAGAACAUCAUCACCGUCACCACGCCGUCGUGCUGACGAAACUCUCCCUCAACACUCGGCUGGAUCGGAGUUCGAAGGACGUCAUCGAGCUGAACGUGUUAGAACUCGGAGGUGCCGUGCGUUCGGUACUUGAUCGGUCGGAUUGUGAAGACGUACGACUACAUCAACCGCGUUGUGAUAACGCUUCCGCUGUCGGUCUACGAGGGUACGUGGACAACACUCUCCCCUCUCGCUGCUAUGCAUCACCAUGAUCUUGCGUGGGCGUAGGAAAUUUUUUGAAAUUACUACGUUGCCCAACAGGUGGCCGGUUAUAGCAAUCUUGGAGAUUACCUACCCGACGAUGUACAAUAUGAAAUCAUGGAGGUGGACGAACACAAAUACCAUUACGGGAAGCCUCUCGUCAAAGAUGAAAGAUCUCUAACAACCAUGAUGCAAAGAUUACAUGAUUGGUACAUGAAAACCUGCAUAGAGUCUGAUGGGAUGGAUACUUUGACGCUGAGAGUUAAACCGGAGCAUGACCUCGUUGGAAUUGAACUGCUGAAUGUUCCAUUUCAGGAUUUCUUCCAGUUUUACAAUCAAAGGGCCCUCAAUAAAAUAACGAUCACUUGCUACUGUCUGUAAGUAGUACUACUUCUGUCAUUAAGUCUCUCUAUAUAGGUCAGCUCUUUCAUUGCAUUUAUUUAUAAUUAUCCUCACUAUAUUAUGCAGAUUGAAGAUCGCCGAAUUGAAGAAAAGACAAAUCGGUGAUAUUGGGUUCAUUAACACAAAUCUCAUAGAUGCAUAUACGGUUGAAAAACAUCCCAAAGAAGCCGAGGCCAACUUGCUACGAUCGUUGGUAUUAAAUCAAAACAAAGAUAUACUACUCUUUCCUUACAACUACAAGUGAGUGUUACUGUCUUGUGCAUAUUCGGUUUCCCUUAUUAGUCCAGGUUAUGGUAAUGUAAUUGAUGACUUAUGCAUGCAUGCGCAGCUUCCACUAUAUUCUCCUAGAGAUUAAGCUUGAGCAGGGAGUAGUAACCGUCUUAGACUCGAGACGAAAAGAUCCCCAGGACUAUGCGAACAUGACUCAAAUGCUCGAGAAGUAAGUUAAAUCGAUCAUUAUCCACCAUAUCAGAAACUUUGUUCAUUUCCUGAUAUCAAGUAAUUGUUUUCUUUGUCUGGCAGGGUUUGGAGAAAAUUCACCACAAAAGCUCCGGGACUGCCGAAGAAGCUGCAAUUUAGACACCCGAAAGUAAGUACUAUAGUAGCAUGUUCCGCGCAUCUCCUAGUGAUUCAAGCGCUAGUUUCAUCAAUACCAUUUAGCAUGCUUGCUUAUCAGUUUGAUUGACCUCUAUUUCUUGUAAAGUGGUUGUGGCAGGAACCCGAGAAUAAUUACUGUGGAUACUACGUUUGCGAGUCCAUCCGCCACACGACCUGUGAGCGGGGCUACUCUGACAAACAAUAUGAAGUGCGUAAGCAAUAAUAUUCACAAUUUUAUUUUAUUACCAUCAUUUGUGUCGAGUUUCAUUUAUUCAUAUAUAUAUAUGUAUUGACCCCCUUCUUCAAAUUAGAUCUUUCAGAUGCGUGAUGAACUCCUAGCACCAGAUCGUAUGCGAGGAAUUCAAGAGGAAUUGGCGGCAUUCUUCCUUGACCACGUCAUCGCUGAAAACGGAGAAUACUAUGUGGACCCUGUGUUCAUAUAUAAUUAGGAGAUUAUAUUGUAAGAGAUAAUUAUUGUAUAUAUGUAGCCGGUAGUGUCGGAUAGAUAUACGAGAACUUGUUGUUCGACCAAUCUCUCGGAGAAGGAGAGGUGGUCGAUAUCACUUCUCUCUGUAUGAAUAUGUUCAUGACGAUCUUCUGUUUCCUUCAUUUGCUUACUAGAUAGCGUGUCUAGUCCUCUCUAUACGUAUAUAGUACAUAGCGUCGACCAAGCACGGAGAUAAGAGAGGACACUUCUCUCUAUUAAUUAGCUAGCUAACACAAUAUAUGAAACACCUAAAUUAACCCCCCAAAACCCCCCAACCCCCCCCCCCCUUCNNNNNNNNNNNNNNNNNNNNNNNNNNNNNNNNNNNNNNNNNNNNNNNNNNNNNNNNNNNNNNNNNNNNNNNNNNNNNNNNNNNNNNNNNNNNNNNNNNNNNNNNNNNNNNNNNNNNNNNNNNNNNNNNNNNNNNNNNNNNNNNNNNNNNNNNNNNNNNNNNNNNNNNNNNNNNNNNNNNNNNNNNNNNNNNNNNNNNNNNNNNNNNNNNNNACAAAAACCCCAGCCCCUGAAAUGCUGACACGUGGAUGCCUACUGGUCCCGGUUGGUGACACCAACCGGGACAAAAGGCCCUGCCUAUUGGUCCCAGUUGGUGACACCAACCGGGACAAAAGGCCCUGCCUAUUAGUCCCGGUUGAUGGCACCAACCGGGACCAAAGGCCCCCCUGCCUGGGCUGGUAGCGGCGGCCACGUGGAGAACCUUCUGUCGCGGUUCGUGUAAGAACCGGGACUAAAGGGUUAGGGCUUUAGUAACGACCCUUUAGUCCUGGUUCGAAAACCGGGACAAAAGGCCCUUACAAACCGGGGUAAAAGCCCCUUUUCCUACUAGUGGCAGGGGCGACAAAGCGUCUCCUUACAAAAGGCCUUUCCAUGCCGAGUAGGAUUGCCGGGGACCCCGUCUAGGAGAACCCAAGAAGUAGAGGUGGGUAUAAGAGUAGUCAGCCACCCAUGGUAUCUCAUGGGGAGCCUCUAUUUUUCAUUAAUUAAGUCAAGCAAGUACCCACAUCUAACAGAGUCAAAAGCGUUCUUGAUGUCCAACUUAAGGAGGAGGGAUGGGGUGUUUGACCUAUGGAGCCGAUGACCAUAAUUUCGAACAUACAAAAAAUUGUCAUGGAUGCUUCUGGAUUUCACGAAAGAACCUAGGGUGUGCGAGAUUAGGGUGUUCAUGAAGGGGGCGAGUCUCAUUGCCAUGAUCUAGGCCACAAUCUUAGCACCCUCUUUUUUCAUGAAUUAGACUGAUGGACCAGAAAUUUGUGAUGGACACGGCACCCUCUUUUUUCGGCAAUAGGGCCACAUUUGUUGAGUUCAGCCAAUGAAUUUUUUUGGAUGCAUGCUUGAAAAACCAGAUACAACUUCCAUAAGUUCCCCUUUGACUAUAGGCCAACAACUCUUAAAAACGCCCCUAUAAAUCCGUUCAGACCGGUGCCUUGUCACUUUGCAUGGCUUCAUGGUGGCAAGAACAUCCUCCGAAAUAUCCCACUUGGUUCCGAAGAUGGACCUCUCGGAGCUCACAACCAUGCAUGUAGAUUUGCACGAAACCGACUAAUGCACACAUGGUUCACAUUUCACUUAUUUUUAUCUCGUGGAUGGUAAAUUUGGCUAAAAUCUCCUUUGACAAGACACAUGACCCAUUGGGCCGGUUUAUGAUCAAGAAGCUCUGAAAAAAAUACCUUUUCUAUUGCUCGCCGUUGGGCCAUACACAGAAGUAAUACGUAAUGAAACUUAAUCUCUAGUCAUGGUGAUGGUGACAGAAAGGCACUAAGGCAGUAAGUGCCCAUGGUGAUGUCCACGGCCUGGAAGAGAUCAUCAUUCCACAAGAUUGCAAUCCCCCCUCCAAUGCCGUUGGCCGGCAUUUGUGUGAAACCUUUCAUCCUGAAACAUCAAAGCUAAGUAGCGGUUGCCUCGAUGUCAUGAAGCUUACAACGUGUUUGGUUGAUGUCCACAGCAUUGUAAGCCUGGCCUGGACCAUGCCUGAGAUAUGCCUGGCAGUUGUUUGGUUCUUAGCCUGAGAGAGAACAUGCUUUGCUUGGCUUAGGUGUUCCUAGCAAGGCAGUUAGCAUGAGCUCUUUAUAAGAAAAUAGAAGAAAUGGAAUGCCUAGUCCAGGCACUAGUCUUUACCCUGGCCCAGGCGUCCUAUUUUUUGUGCCUAUCGUGCUGCAACAUCAGUCCUGGUAGCCAUCGGUACUAUUUAAAACAGUAAACAAUUCAGUAAUGACACUACUAGGCCAGAGAAGAAACCAAACACAAGUACACCAGGCUAAAACAUUCCAUCAUCUCAGGCAUGCCUCCUUCCCAGGCAUAGUGUCUAGAGUCCAAAUCAAACGGCUCCGGAAAGUAUGCAAUGUUGGAAGCCGAUGCCACAAUGGACUCAUGUGCACCGUGGUUCUCCUAUAUCUGGGCAGUUGCCCUCGCACAUUCCGGUUCACAAUGCAAGCCGUACACCAUGUAUUUGUGAUACUGGAGGUAAUCACACCUUAGUAUUAUGACUUCACAUUGACCUACAUCAGCUUUAGAGCUAUCAUCCGGAUUGUGGACAUGCUUCUGAAGUCAUGAUAGAUGUUCUCCAGUAGAACAUAUCUUACACCUCCAAGAAAAUUUAGAUUUGACAUUAACUUACAAAAAGUCAACACAGACUAAUAAUAAGAGAUACUACCAUUGUCAACAGCUGCACAGGAACAGCUGCCAAUGGUAUUUACAAUUUCAACCAACCAGCCCUGCGCCCCCAACUGCGAUCCCCCAAUUGAAGAGACGAAACAGAGACAUACAAUAACAUGAGUGGCACACAAAUAGCACUAGGAGAAUACUAGUAGUUCUGAUCGAUACAACGUCAUCACUUGCGGACGUAAACUUAAGACCCAAUAGUUGAUGAAAAAAACUUAAGACACAAUUGAUCGAUCGCCAGGACGAAUCCUACUCUAAUCCAUGGCACACAUUAGACAGACAGAUAGAUGCUGCUAAGUAGAUCAAGCUUCUUGGUCGCUGUCGUGGGGGAUGACCUCGUACUGGUCGGUGGGGAGGUUGGCCCUUGGGUGUCGUCGUUGAAGACGUCGACCUGGACAUAGGCGUAGCCGUCACGCUUGAAGUCGGCUUGGACCCUCUCGUUCUCGUCGCGCUCGGCCUUGAUGGCGUCCAUGGCCUCGCGGAGCUCCUCCGGGAAGUUGGGCAGGGGAUCGCCAGGCUUCUUGUCCCACUCGAGCAGCCACUUGAUGUAGCUGUUCCGAUGGUCUAUCUUCACCAUCACCUGCUUCUUGAUCCCAUACCCCUCGUCAAGGUACAACCUCAACCACUCGGGGGAUGCAGGCGCCGCCAUCGAGAUCAAUUCCGUCGGAACCUCCCCUUCUCGAUCUGGUUGGGUGGGUUGUUGUGUGGAUACUAUGUUGGCCAGGUGCUCCGGGGUGCCGUACAUAUAGUCGCCCCAAGCGGCCAAGCGGCCAUGCCCUAUCUCUGUCGGAAACGGGUUCCUUAGCAGGCGGCUAAAGGAAGACGUCCCAUGGGCUUGCAUAAAAUUUGGGGAACCUUUAGCAUCAAGCGCCGGCUUGUUCUAAAUAAAAACAGAAAAAGAAAAAACCGUGGCCAAAUCCAGUUCUCGUGCUGCCCAUGUAGGGCAAUAAGCCACGGCGGGCUCGGACGCGGUGCGCGUGUGUGCGUGCGGUGGACGCGUCGGGUCCGGCCCGUGGUGGGCACGGGUGCGUGUGUGCAUGUCCGUGGAUGUGUGCGUGUGUGCGUGAGUUAGUUGAUGCAAUGCGCGGGUGUCGAGACCACGUCCGGCGUCGGGUGCGGCCACGGCGGUCGCGUAGGCGCGCGAGGGGCGUGUGCGAGUCGGAGCGCGCGGGACGUAGGGAGUGGGUGAGUGGGUGCGUAUGGGCACGGGCUGGGCACGCGGGUAUGAAGCCCUCACCCCACCGGUGUAUUGUGUUGUGUGUUCGACUUUGACCUCGAGGAGAAAACAGAAAAACGCUGUUCGUGCGGCAGGGUGUUAGUGUGCCCGAAAAUCCUCUGUGUCCUUCUUCUUCCUCCUGUCGGACCUUGUCUCUGGUGAUCGCCGUCGUCUGCUAGGGCUAGUUGCGCCAGCAUUUGGUAUCAGAGUGAGGAGCGAGGGGCUUGUCGACGGCGAUGGCGAUCGUGCCGCACGACGCAGGCGGGAGCUCGGUGUCGAUGGCGAUGCCGAUGCUCACACCGGACAACUACAUGGUGUGGGCGAUCAAGGCACAUGCCAUCCUCGACACCCACACUCUCUGGGAGGCGGUGGCGCCGACGGGAGAUGCAGUGGUCGACGGGAAGAAGUGCAAGACGGCGCGCGCCAUGCUCCUCGGCACGCUGGUGGAGGAUAGUCUGUUGCAGGUGUCGGCGAAGCUCACGGCCAGGGAGGUAUGGGACUCCCUGAAGGUGCGUUUCAUCGGCGCUGAUCGGGUGUGGGCAGCCCGGCUCGCGACGCUGCGCGGGGACUUCGAUCGGCUGCGAAUGGCGGAUGGCGAGGCUCUGGACGUCUACGUCGGUAGGCUGGGCGCGAUGACGGCGCGCUACGCGAGCUUGGGGGCGACGCUCGGAGACGCGGCGCUCGUGAAGAAACUCCUGGACACCGUCCCCGACCACUUGUGCCCCGCCGUCGCCGGGAUUGAGCAAUUCUGCAACAUCGACGAGAUGGCGUUCGAUGAGGCGCUUGGGCGACUGCGUGCGUUCGACGAGCAGACGCAGCAUCGCGGACAAGACGGCGGCGAGCACGGGGGCGAUCAGCUGCUCCUGACGGUGGCGCAGUGGGCGGCGCGGGAACGGCAGCAGGGCAGCGCUCGGGACGACGGCGGCGGCAGGAGCGUGGCGUCGGGCAACGGCGGGAACCGGCGCAGCCGCUGCUACAACUGCGGGCAGCGCGGCCAUUUCCGGCGCGACUGCACUCAUCAAAGGAAGGCGGCGGUGGUGGAGGAGCGGGCGUUGUUGGCGGACGUCGGCGUUGUGGACGCCGGCCUCCUCUAGGCCGUGGCUUAGGUGGCUGAAUGUAGGGCAAUAAGCCACGGCAGGCUCGGUCGCGGUGCCCGUGUCUGCAUGCGGUGGACGCUUCGGGUCCGGCCCGUGGCGGGCACGGGGCAUGCGUGUGUCCGUGGAUGUGUGCGUGUGUGCGUGUGUGCGUGAGUUAGUUGGCGCAAUGCGCGGGUGUGAAGACCGCGUCGGACGUCGGGUGCGGCCGCGGCGAUCGCGUAGGCCUGCGAGGGGCGUGCACGAGCCGGAGUGUGCGGGACGUGGGGAGUGGGUGCGUAUGGGCACGGGCUGGCGUGUCUGGUCACGCGGGUAUAAAGCCCUCACCUCACCGGUGUAUUGUGUUGUGUGUUCGAGUUCGAACUCGAGGAGAAAACAAAAAAAAGUCGUUCGUGCGGCAGGGUGUUUGAGAGCCGAAAAAUCCUCUGUGCUCUUCUCCUCUCCGACUUUGUCUCCGGUGAUCGCCGUCGUGUGCUGGGGCUAGCUGCGCCAACACCCCAGACUGCAGUUUUUCUGCCCCCAGCCAUCUCUCUCUGACGCCCCACGCUCAGUCCCCCCAUUCAGAGCCCUCAUCUCCGCAGCCCUCGUGCUUCCCAAACACACCUUCUCACUUCCUCCCAGUCACCUACGCAUGGCUCUCCUUUGAGCUGCCGCAAGGCUGACUGGCCACACGCGACGCGGGCAGGGGCACAGUGUUGCAAGGGCCGCACGGCAGCGCCGAGCUGCAUCCGACAUGGCUACAAGAUGCGACAUCUCGCAUGGCGGCGAGCUGCGACAAUCAUGGCGCGAGAAGCUGGAACCAUAGUUGUGGAGGUUGCUAAAACCGUGGAAUCGGCUUGCUGGAACUGUGACCGCGGCGAGCUGGAACCAUGGUCGUGGGUUGCUGCAACCAUUGACAUGAAAAGCUUCCACCGUAUAUCAGAAAAGUUUCAGUCAGCAAUAGAAAAUUCUUCAACCAUGGCACUGCGCAAGAGAAAAUAUUACGACUAUUGACGUGAAAGCUUCCCCAUAAAUGAAAAAACAGAAAAAAGUACAAUCGCUGAUAGAGAAAGCUUCGACCAUAGUUGGAAAAAGCUUCAACCUGCGACAGAACAAGCUGCGGGGCGAGCCGAUGACCCACACGGCGAUUUUGCACCCACGUGUUGCGACAGUAGCGUUGCGGCGAGUCGACGAGCUCAGGCGACAGGCGAGAUAGGAGGGUGCUGUUGUGGGGCUGAAACCGUCCAAUGGCAGAUCCGCUGUUCUGGAUGCGGAAUCCAUGGCAACAUGAGAACGAGGCAUGCUCGUAGACGAAUGGGAGAACGAAGACGACGAGCUGCGAUGUGAGUUGUUUCUUUGCAAGAGGACGGCUGUAGCCCUCACCGGAGCGCAUGCAUGCGAUUGCUGAGGGCGGAGACACCUGUGGCGGGGCGAGGGCUAGCAGGCAGAAAGAGAAUCGUGUUUCCUUUUUGCGUUGACCAAGAGGAAGGAGACGAUUCAGAAAGAGGCAUCGUACAAUGCGGAUGGCUCAAUCUAGUUGCUGCGAAGCGGCCAGCCGGGUGCUUGCGCCGGUCUACCGACACCUAGCGCCUGCCAAAAAAUCAAGCGCCGUUUUUUUGACAAUGUAAGACUUUAUUUCUCAGAUAAGGUGAGAAAUAAAGUCCGGGAUAGCAUCUUCCCAACCUUGAGAGGAUCUAAUAGACAAGGAUGAUUUAGCUACACAAUCAAGCCCCGGUUGAUUACAUGUUGUGUCAGACUGACUAAGUGUUGUCAAUGAUAUUGAGACAGAAGAGGAGGAAUACAUGAAGCUAUUAUCAGAAAGAUCAAUUCCCAGAGAUCAUAUGGGACCCUCUAUAAAAAAAAUAUGAAUUUAGAGUUUGAACUAUGAAGCUCGCUACUUUUUUUGAUACAAUGAAACUCGCAACUUAGCUUUUUUUAAGACAGACUCGCUACCUUUAUUAUGUCAUCACCACAUUUACAGGGACGAAAAUAAGGUUUCCGGGUUGGCCUAACCAUGCACGGCGGCGAAGCCCUAAAGUCAGACCAUGUUUAGCAAGAUUGUGAGCCUCAACAUUUGAGGUUCAAAACUCACGACUAAUGAUACAAUAAUUAAAACUAGAAAUAUGCUCUCUAAUCUCAUUAAUCACCGCAUCAUAAGGGGGCGCGCUACCACUACUAAUAGCAUCAACCACUACCUUGCAAUCUGGACCAUGAAGAUCCUUUGAGAGUAUGUGUCCUCCGCAGGAGCCAUUGUCUCACUUACUGCUAACGCCUCGAGAGUGGGGGGUCUAUUAUGCGAGGGGAAAACAUAGUUGAAGCUCCAAUGAACAUCCAGUCUUGGUCUCGACAGAUCACCACUAAAGCCCCAAACUACCCAUUCCUCGAGAUGGCAGCAUCAACAUUAAUCUUUACAUUUCUCGUCGGCGGUGAAAUCUAGUGGUUCGGUUUUGCGACCGCAGAAGCUUGCCUUGUCUUGUUAUUCUUCUGCAUGAGCCCAUUUAUCAAACGUUUAUCGACCGUUUACCGACCAAGGACUCUGGAAAAUGUCCUCAUGAAUAGCUUUUCUUCGUGAACUCCAAAUUGCCCAUAGAAAAGUUUACAAACCAGAAUUACCGUUCCCUCAUGGUUCCCAAUUCCGGCGGGUGGGGGUACCUUUCGGGUGAGCGACUCGACCUUGGCUCUGACAAGGUCGAGCCCGUCCUUCAUCUCCUUGAGGGCGGCGAGCAGCUUGCACUAGUAGAAAAAGGGGCUUUUACCCCGGUUGGUAAGGGCCUUUUGUCCCGGUUUUCGAACCGGGACUAAAGGGUCGUUACUAAAGCCCUAACCCUUUAGUCCCGGUUCUUACACGAACCGGGACAGAAGGUCCUCCACGUGGCCGCUGCUGCCAGCCCAGGCAGGGGGGCCUUUGAUCCCGGUUGGUGACACCAACCGGGACCAAUAGGCAGGGCCUUUGUCCCGGUUGGUGUCACCAACCGGGACCAAUAGGCAUCCACGCGUCAGCAUUUCAGGGGCUGGGGUUUUUUUUGAAAUGGGGGGGGGGGUUUGGGGGGUUUUGGGGGGUUAAUUUAGGUGUUUCAUAUAUUGUGUUAGCUAGCUAAUUAAUAGAGAGAAGUGUCCUCUCUUAUCUCCGUGCUUGGUCGACGCUACGUACUAUAUACGUAUGGAGAGGACUAGACACGCUAGCUAGUAAGCAAAUGAAGGAAAUAGAAGAUCGUCAUGAACAUAUGCAUACAGAGAGAAGUGAUAUCGACCACCUCUCCUUCUCCGAGAGAUUGGUCGAACAACAAGUUCUCGUAUAUCUAUCUGACACUACCGGCUACAUAUAUAGAAUAAUUAUCUCUUACAAUAUAAUCUCCUAAUUAAAUUGUAAGAACACAGGGUCCACAUAGUAUUCUUCGUUUUCAGCGAUCACGUGGUCAAGGAAGAAUGCCGCCAAUUCCUCUUGAAUUGCUCGCAUACGAUCUGGUGCUAGGAGUUCGUCCCGCAUCCGAAAGAUCUAAUUUGAAGAAGGGGGUCAAUACAUAUAUAUAUGAAUAAAUGAAACUCGACACAAAUGAUGGUAAUAAAAUAAAAUUGUGAAUAUUAUUGCUUACGCACUUCAUAUUGUUCGUCGGAGUAGCCCCGCUCACAGGUCGUGUGGCGGAUGGACUCGCAAACGUAGUAUCCACAGUAAUUAUUCACGGGUUCCUGCCACAACCACUUUACAAGAAAUAGAGGUCAAUCAAACUGAUAAGCAAGCAUGCUAAAUGGUAUUGAUGAAACUAGCGCUUGAAUCACUAGGAGAUGCGCGGAACAUGCUACUAUAGUACUUACUUUCGGGUGUCUAAAUUGCAGCUUCUUCGGCAGUCCCGGAGCUUUUGUGGUGAAUUUUCUCCAAACCCUGCCACACAAAGAAAACAAUUACUUGACAUCAGGAAAUGAACAAAGUUGCUGAUAUGGUGGAUAAUGAUCGAUUUAACUUACUUCUCGAGCAUUUGAGUCAUGUUCGCAUAGUCCUGGGGAUCUUUUCGUCUCGAGUCUAAGGCGGUUACUACUCCCUCCUCAAGCUUAAUCUCUAGAAGAAUAUAGUGGAAGCUGCGUAUGCAUGCGUAAGUCAUCAAUUAAAUUACCAUAACCUGGACUAAUAAGGGAAACCGAAUAUGCACAAGACAGUAACACUAACUUGAAGUUGUAAGGAAAGAGUAUUAUAUCUUUGUUUUGAUUUAAUACCAACGAUCGUAGCAAGUUGGCCUCGGCUUCUUUGGCAUGUUUUUCAACCGCAUGUGCAUCUAUGAGAUUUGUGUUAAUGAACCCAAUAUCACCGAUUUGUUUUCUUCAAUUCGGCAAUCUUCAAUCUGCAUAAUAUAGUGAGGAUAAUUAUAAAUACAUGCAAUGAAAGAGCUGACCUAUAUAGAGAGACUUAAUGACAGAAGUAGUACUACUUACAGACAGUAGCAAGUGAUCGUUGAUUUAUCGAGGGCCUUUUGAUAGAAAAACUGGAAGAACUCCUCAAAUGGAACAUUCAGCAGUUCAAUUCCAACGAGGUCAUGCUCCGGUUUAACUCUCAGCGUCAAAGUAUUCAUCCCAUCAGACUCUCUGCAGGUUUUCAUGUACCAAUCAUAUAAUCUUCGCAUCAUGGUUGUUAGAGAUCUUUCAUCUUUGACGAGAGGCUUCCCGUAAUGGUAUUUGUGUUCCUCCACCUCCAUGAUUUCAUAAUGUACAUCGUCGGGCAGGUAAUCUCCAAUAUUGCUAUAACCGGGCACCAUCCUCGGAUCAUUAGCGACGAUGUCGCUAGACAUCCUCGGAUCAUUAGCAAAUUUUUUCCCAGCUCGUCGUUCUUUUAACCUUUGAUCACUGACAGUACUUUCCGACCGCUCCGCUUCGGCAAAUGUCUUUGCAAUAAUGCGCUCAUAGUUGCCUUUCGGCGGAGACUUUGGUGGUUUUGUCAGGGCAGCCAGAGUGCGCUUCGCUUUCACCGGAUCUACCUUCUCCUCCGGAGGUGGAUGUUUCUUUGCUUUCACCCCUUCAAAGAAGUUCGUCACUUCGGCUCGCACGAUCUUCCUGGUUUCCUCCUCGGUCCUCUCAUAUGGUAACUUCUCUGGAGUCUUCAGAGAAGGACCGAAUCUGUAUUGCCUCCCACCUCUGGCAGCUGUACUGCUAGACGCCGGCAGAGCAGACGGAGCGGCUGCGGCUGUCUUCUUUCCUUGCUUACGAGGCGGAGGAGAAGGACUACGAUGCGCCGGAGCAGCCGGAGCGGCGGCGGGUCUCUUCCGCCCUUGCUGACGAGGCGGAGAAGGAGGAGGCUGGCUGCUCUGGCACGCCGGCGCAGGCGGAGAAGGAGGCGGAGUGCCGCCACGCGCCGGAGAAGGAGGCUGAGUGCCAUGAUCACUCGCCGGAGGAGGAGGCGGAGGAGGAGGCGAAGUGCCGCCACGCGCCGGAGAAGGAGGCUGAGUGCCCUGAUCACUCGCCGGAGGAGGAGGCGGCGGAGUGCCCUUACUCGCCGGAGGCGUCCAGUUCGGAAGGUUAAUGAGCUCCUUCAGCCAUAGGCACGGAGUCUUCAGAGCUAAACCCAGCCGAGUCUCCCCUUCACCGGUAGGGUGGUCAAGCUGGAGGUCCUAAAAUCCCUCCGUUAUUUCAUCCACCAUCACCCUAGCAUAUCCUUCUGGAAUCGGCCGGCAGUGGUAGGUUGCGCCGGGUUCAGGAGGUAAAACAGAGCCAACAACCGCCUUGACUUUGAAGUUCUGCCAUUGCGCCAUAAGGUGGCAAUGUUGAGACUCCGUGAUAGCAUCCACGGGGUAGCUAGCAGGAGCCGUCAAGACAUGCUCUGGCUGAAGCAGCUCAGUGGAAGCCACGCUGCUUCUCCGCUGAGACGGCGGGGUAGCUUCGGGGGUAGUUUCGGCAUGUCGAUUGCCGUCUCGUUCCUCUAGCGCUUGAACCCUUUCGUGCAGCUUCUGAAUUUGGGUCUGCUCCAUUUUUUUCAUACUCUCCUGGCUUUUGUAACCGACUGCGUCCGGAAAACCAGCCUUCCACGGAACGGAGCCUGGCGUGCCUCGUGUCCGUCUAGGGUGCUCAGGAUUCCCGAGGGCCAUUGCGAGCUCGUCGUUCUCUCUGUCUGGAACAAACGUCCCUUCCUGCGCUGCAUCGAUAUAUUGAUGAAUCUUCUUGACUGGUAUUCUCAAAAUCUCGUUCGUCCAAAUGCACCUCCCUGAUACAGGGUCCAAUUUUCCACCAGCCCCGAAGAACCAAGUCCGGCAACGGUCUGGCCAGUUCAUUGUCUGUUGUUCGAUCCCUUUUUGAAGCAGAUCAUUCUCAGCCUUGGCCCACUUAGGCCGGGCUUUGAGGUAGCCACCUGACCCCGUGUGAUGGUGAAGCUUCUUCUUCGCGGCAUUCUUCUUGUUUGUCGCUGACAUCUUCUUACUCUUUUCCGAUGUCUUGUGGGCCACAAAUGCGGGCCAGUGAUCUCUGAUCUUCUCAGACCGGCUGAUGAAUUCUGGUGUCUCUUCUUUGUCGACAAACAUUUUCAGCUCAUUCUUCCACCUCCUGAAUAGGUCUUUCAUCUUCUUAAGAGCAUGAGACUUGAUUAAUUGCUCUUUAACUGGCUUCUCCAGAUCCUCCUCUGGCGGUAGGGUGAAAUUUGCCUUCAGCUCAGUCCAAAGAUCAUCUUUCUGCAUAUCAUUGACAUAAGACACCUCAGGGUCUUCCUUCUUAGGCUUAUACCAUUGGUGGAUGCUGAUCGGGAUCUUGUCCCUAACAAGAACCCCGCACUGAGCAGCAAAUGCUUCCUUUGUCCGGAUGGGUUCAAUGGUUGGCCGUUGCGCGCGAUUGCUGUGAUCUCAAACCUUUCAUCCGAGCGCAACUUUCUCUUCGGGCCUCGUCUCUUUACCGAAGUUGUGCUUGAUCCGGAGGGCUAGAAAAAAGAAGAAAGAUGAGAGUUAAUUAAUAUGUGUACAUACCAAAACAAUGAAUGGAUCAAUUAGCUAGUCAGCACAGGCUUAACUAAUAUAUUUACCUGGGCGGACUCUGUUCGGUCACCGGAGCCGUCACCACGGGCUCCUUCUUGCACCAGCAUUGGGUCACCGGAGCCAUCAUAAUCAUGUAUUUCCUCCUCCACUCUUCGAUCACCGUAGCCUGCUUCUUCACCAUGUUCUUCCAGACCAUCAUUGUCAUUAAGAUACGACAAGAUAUCACCUCCGGCUAAGAUUAUGUCCCCCAACACCUCUUCUGCUUGCUCGUCUCGUCCGUGCUCCAUUGUUUCUGCAAAUAUUACAACAUGGCAAUUAUUACACAAACAUGACAGCAGGUGGAUAUAUUAGUGCAAACGUAGACCUAGCUUAUUCCGGGUUUGGGGUGGCCUCGGCAACGCUUCAAGGGUAGGGGCGCGGCGGGAGGGGGUAGGAGACCGACAUCGUUUUUUCUAGGAUUUGGGUGUCCUUGAGAGUUCUGGUCGAGCGAGAGGGCCCGGGGGUGCUCGCGUGGUAUAAGUUAUCACGGUCGAAGUUAUCCGGGAGGGGGAGGCAACUGGCGAUGAAAACUAAAACUUUUCACAAGUGUUUGUUAUAUAGUCCGACGUCCCCCCCCCCCUCAUGUCGAAGUUAUCGGGGAGGGCCUGGGUAGAUCGACAACGACGACGCUCUUUUUCUAGGGUUUGGGUGGCCUCAAUAGUUGGUCGGGCAAGCGGACCGCCUCUCUCUCAUGCAUGUCCGACGUCCCCCCUCAUGUCAAAGUUAUCGGGGAGGGGGUAAAUUUUAAAGAAAAAAUAAUCUAUAUAUCACAAUAUCAAUAUUUUCUAUAUACAUACAUCCAUACAUACAUACACAUACAUAUACAUCUACAUUAAUUAUAUAUAUGAACAAAAAAAUACUAAUUCUAUGAACAUAAAAAGGUCUAUGAACAAAAAAACAUCACAUCAAUAUUUUCAUCCAUCCAUACAUACAUACAUACAUACAUAUAUAUAUACAUCUACAUUAUAUAUGAACAAAAAAAUACACAAACUUUACUAAUAAAAAAAGACAGCAGGCCGGGGCGGCGGCAGCUCACAGCAUGGGUGGCGACGGCGACGGCGACGGCGACGGCGGGGGCGGGGCAGGGCGCGGGCUCUGGGGCNNNNNNNNNNNNNNNNNNNNNNNNNNNNNNNNNNNNNNNNNNNNNNNNNNNNNNNNNNNNNNNNNNNNNNNNNNNNNNNNNNNNNNNNNNNNNNNNNNNNNNNNNNNNNNNNNNNNNNNNNNNNNNNNNNNNNNNNNNNNNNNNNNNNNNNNNNNNNNNNNNNNNNNNNNNNNNNNNNNNNNNNNNNNNNNNNNNNNNNNNNNNNNNNNNNNNNNNNNNNNNNNNNNNNNNNNNNNNNNNNNNNNNNNNNNNNNNNNNNNNNNNNNNNNNNNNNNNNNNNNNNNNNNNNNNNNNNNNNNNNNNNNNNNNNNNNNNNNNNNNNNNNNNNNNNNNNNNNNNNNNNNNNNNNNNNNNNNNNNNNNNNNNNNNNNNNNNNNNNNNNNNNNNNNNNNNNNNNNNNNNNNNNNNNNNNNNNNNNNNNNNNNNNNNNNNNNNNNNNNNNNNNNNNNNNNNNNNNNNNNNNNNNNNNNNNNNNNNNNNNNNNNNNNNNNNNNNNNNNNNNNNNNNNNNNNNNNNNNNNNNNNNNNNNNNNNNNNNNNNNNNNNNNNNNNNNNNNNNNNNNNNNNNNNNNNNNNNNNNNNNNNNNNNNNNNNNNNNNNNNNNNNNNNNNNNNNNNNNNNNNNNNUGGUCCCGGUUGGUGCCACUAACCGGUACCCAUGCCCACCUUUAGUCCCGGUUGGUGCCACCAACCGGGACCAAAGGACAUGUGCUGCACGCGUCGCGGCCAAAGUUUAGUCCCACCUCGCUAGUUGAGAGAGCUCGAGAGUGGUUAUAAGCGCUGCUGCGCCCACCCUCUCGAGCUCCUCUCGACUGCAGGCUUUCGAGCCUAACCAUACACUAUGUGCCUGUGGGGCCUACUGGGCCACGUGCGGGCCUGAAUCCUGGCCCAUGGUUGGGUUUCUAGUCGUAUUCGGGCCGUGGUGCCCCAGUAGAUGGCACUUUUUUUCUUUGUUGCUUUAUUUAUUUUAUUUUGUUUCUACUUACAACAAAAUACUUACUGUUGCUAUUUUUAUUUAUUUUAUUAAAGUUUAUUUUUUUAAUUCUUUUUGCUUUUAGGUCACAAAAAUUAUAAACUUUCUGUUAGUGCCAUUAGUUUUCAAAUUUGAAUAGUUUAAAUUUGAAUUCUUUGAAAUUUGUGUGAAUCACUAGUUUGUGAUUAACUUUACUAUAAAAAUAGAUUUUGGAGUGAUUCUUUUUCCUGCUAUUUAAAAUUACUGUGUUUUAUGAUUCUAUUCAAAAACAGAUUCUGGUAUUUUAGUUUCUAACAAAAAAAUCUUUAUGAUAAUGCUUUUUGCUAUUAAAGUUUCUAACAAAAACAUUCUUUAUGAAAAUUCCUUUUGCUAUUGGAGUUUUAUAAAAGCUUUUUUGUUGAUUCUUUUGGCUAUUGAAGAAUACUAUAGUUUUGUUUUAGUUGAUCAUAACAGCAUAUUUUAAUUGAUUAUUUUAGUUUCUACCCGGUACCCAUGCCCACCUUUAGUCCCGGUUGGUGCCACCAACCGGGACCAAAGCACAUGUGCUGCCCGCGUCGCGGCCAAAGUUUAGUCCCACCUCGCUAGUUGAGAGAGCUUGAGAGUGGUUUAUAAGCGCUGCUGCGCCCAACCUCUCGAGCUCCUCUCAACAGCAGGCCUUCGGGCCAAACCGUUCUCUUUGCCUGUGGGGCCUACUGGGCCUUCUGCAGGCCUGAAUCCUGGCCCAUGGAUGGGUUUCAAGUCGUAUUCAGGCCGUGGUGGCCCAGUAGGUGGCAUAAUAUUUUCCCUGUUUUUUGUUUUCUCUUUUGCUUUAUUUAUUUUGUUUUGUUUCUACUUACAACAAAACACUUAUUUAUUUUAUUCCAUUUUGUUUCUAAUUACUUACGUAUUUUACUUUAUUUAUUUUAUUUUUAUUUAUUUUACUGCUGCUAUUUUUAUUUAUUUUACUGCUGCUAUUUUUAUUUAUUUUACUGCUGCUUUUUUUAUUUAUUUUAUUAAGGUUUAUUUAUUUUAUUUACUAUAGUUUAUUUUAUUUUAUUUUAUUUUAUUGUAUUAAGGUUUAUUUNNNNNNNNNNNNNNNNNNNNNNNNNNNNNNNNNNNNNNNNNNNNNNNNNNNNNNNNNNNNNNNNNNNNNNNNNNNNNNNNNNNNNNNNNNNNNNNNNNNNNNNNNNNNNNNNNNNNNNNNNNNNNNNNNNNNNNNNNNNNNNNNNNNNNNNNNNNNNNNNNNNNNNNNNNNNNNNNNNNNNNNNNNNNNNNNNNNNNNNNNNNNNNNNNNNNNNNNNNNNNNNNNNNNNNNNNNNNNNNNNNNNNNNNNNNNNNNNNNNNNNNNNNNNNNNNNNNNNNNNNNNNNNNNACUAUAAAAAAAUGAACAUAGAUGCUCCUAUAGAGAAAAUUCAACCUAAAUUCAUAAUAAAUUUCUAUGAAAUUCAAAGAAAUUUACUCUGAAUUUAGGUCAAAUUCCUUGUAUGAGGGCAUCUAUUUUCACUUUGAGAGGAGCUCAACAAGGCAGAGAGGGACGGGCUUAUAAACCGGUGUGAGCGGCCUUCGGUUGGCGAGGUGGGACUAAACUCUGACCGCAACUAGGACCAACCCUUUAGUCCCGGUUUGUGGUAUGAACCGGGACUAAAGGGUGAGCCUCUCGUCCCGGUUCAAGCCACCAACCGGGACCAAUGGUGGUGGGCCAGGAGCGAGGCCCAUUGGUCCCGGUUUGUCCCACUAACCGGGACCAAAGGGGCCGGACGAAUCGGGACCAAUGCCCCCACGAGGCCCGGCAGGACCCUGGCCGCACGAACCGGGACCAAUGCUCACAUUAGUCCCGGUUCGUGACUGAACCGGGACUAAUGUGAAUAUUGCCCUGUGACCAAAGCCCAGUUUUCUACUAGUGUUGGGCGCGUCAUCGCUGCAAAUCGAACAACAACCAAAGCCUAAGCCGCGUUACUUCUCCAUUCUUUCCAGGCGAGAGAUCCUGUAGCUCCCACCGGGAAGUUACGGGCGGAGCUUACCGCACGAGGGGCUGAGUUUUCCUCUCGUCGUCUGCUCCGGCGACGGCGGCCAUCGUCGUUGUUCGCUGCCUGCCCGAGACGGGGAAAGGCCAGGGGGUCGCCGAUUAGGUGCGGCCAAGCAAGCAAACGAGCCGCCAGGCGCCGUUGCUGUGGAAGAGGGCGCUGCCGUGAUUUGGUUGGAAGAAACCCCUAGCCAGCUCACCGCUCGCAGCAAGCUGGUUUCUUUGGGGUCCGCCGCGCGGUGAGGGAUGACCCCAGGGCUUUUCAUCACUCACCAAUUAUGGGCCCAUCUCAGCUGCAAUUCCAUGUGGAGGCCCAUGCCGUCAAUGGCUUUGGAGGCGUGGGUGGGACAACCGGAAAAGAGGGAGCGAUGGCGCGCGCGCAACCUGAUUCUGAUCGGAUGGAUUCAGCAGGAGGUGGUGGGUGGGAGGCCAAAAAUUUUGAACCCAAGAAGAAGGGGCGACGGGCGCGCGUGCACAAUUUCCCGCUUGCCGGCGGGGGCUCGCUCUGACGCAGCCGACGCCGCGCACUGCCACCUCAACUAAUUGUCCGGGCUCCCGCGUCAGGGAAUUUAGGGGCUGUUUGGUUGUUGCCCAGAAGUGCCAUGCCAAAUCGUGGGCGUCGCGGACGCACCAAAAAGUUGGCGCCUGAUCUGGCCGUCCCAGUUUCGCCAAUGAAUUGGCGCAGAAGUACAGAGGAAAAGGCAGAGUGAGUUGCCGAGCCAAAACUUUGGAUCCCAUCCGAACAAGCUGCAGUGCUCCGAUCAACGAUAAAAUAUUGGCUGGGCGUGCGUGGAAUCGAAUCCAAACAGCCCCUUACCAUUCUGCCCCAAAAGGUUUUCUGGAUAAUCUGUUUCGUUCAACUGCCUAUACGCAACAUAUUUUGUGUUUAUCUAAAAAAAUUUGGCGUCCUCUCUCAUUAAAAUGUAUGUAUGGUGCGGUUUUUUAAAAGAUUAACUAAUAAUUUGCAACCUACAUGCCACAAAAAAUAUACCAUGGAAAAUCUCUUUCAAAUACAAAUUCAACAUAUACUUUCCAUAUCAUCAAUUUAUAUUUUGUUAGUUUUACAGAUGAUCAAAGUUUGACCUAAAAUACGAAGGGGGGCCAAUAAACCCGGACGGAGUGAUAGAACAUAUCUUAGACCUACAGAAGAUUCAGAUUUGACAUUAACUUACAAAAAGUCAACACAGACUAAUAAUAAGAUAUACUACUAUUGUCAACAGCUGCACAGGAACAAAUCUUGAUCUAUAAUUUUGCAUACAGUGAGCCACACUGGUCUAUUUGUCAGAUAUCCUGCCUGCAACUGCAAUUUUUAAAACGACGUUAAACGAAGGACCCGAUUAUGAAUCUACUGGCAUCUUUUUCCCAAGAUGCAAUUUUAGAACAGUUGAACGAACGAUAAGCAAAUUUAAUUACACUUCAGCCAUACAAUGCCCUGCUUAGUUCGUUGCCAAUGGUAUUUACAAUUUCAGCCAACCAGCCCUGCGCCCCUGCCAAGAUUUGUGACAACUGCGAUCCCCCAAUUGAAGAGACGUAACAGAGAGAUACAAUAACAUGAGUGGCACACCAAUAGCACUAGGAGAAUACUAGUAGUUCCGAUUCAUACAACGUCAUCACUUGCGGACAUAAACUUAUUAUAAGACCAAUAGUUGAUAAAAAAAACUUAAGACACAAUAGAUCGAUCGCCAGGAGGAAUCCUACUAUAAUCCAUGGCACACAUUAGACAGACAGAUAGAUGCUGCUCAGUAGAUCAAGCUUCUUGGUCGCUGUCGUGGGGGAUGACCUCGUACUGGUCGGCGGGGAGGUUGGCCCUUGGGUCGUCGUCGUUGAAGACGUCGACCUGGAUGUAGGCGUAGCCGUCGCGCUUGAAGUUGGCGAGGACCCUCUCGUUCUCGUCGCGCUCGGCCUUGAUGGCGUCCAUGGCCUCGCGGAGCUCCUCCGGGAAGUUGGGCAGGGGAUCGCGAGGCUUCUUGUCCCACUUGAGCAGCCACUUGAUGUAGCUAUUCCGAUUGUCUAUCUUCACCAUCACCUGCUUCUUGAUUCCAUACCCCUCGUUAAGGUACAACCUCAACCACUCGGGGGAUGCUGGCGCCGCCAUCGAGAUCGAUUCCGUCGGAACCUCCCCUUCUCGAUCUGGUUGGGUGGGUUGCUAUGUGGAUACUAUGUUGGCCAGGUGCUCAGGGGUGCUGUACAUAUAGUCGCCCCAAGCGGCCAUUCGACGAGCGGACGCGGCGUCGCGGACAAGACGACGGCGAGCACGGGGGCGAUCAGCUACUCCUGACGGGGGCGCAGUGGGCGGUGCGGGAGCGGCAGCAGGGCGGUGCUCGGGACGACGACGGCGACAGGAGCGUGGCGUCGAGCAACGACGGGAACUGGCGCGACCGCUGCUACAACUGCGGGCAGCGCGGCCAUUUCUGGUACAAGUACACUCAUCAAAGGAAGGCGGCAGUGGUGGAGGAGCGGGCGUUGCUGGCGGACAUCAGCGUUGAGGACGCCGGCCUCCUAUAGGCUGUGGCUUAGGGGGUGAAUGUAGGGCAAUAAGCCACAGCAGGCUCAGACGCGGUGCGCGUGUAUGCAUGCGGUGGACGCGUCGGGUCCGGCCCGUGGCGGGCACGGGUGCGUGUGUGUCUUCGUGGAUGUGUGCGUGUGUGCGUGAGUAAGUUGGCGCAAUGCGCGGGUAUGGAGACCGCAUCGGGCGUCGGGUGCAGCCGAGGCGCGCGAUGGGCGUGCUCGAGCCGGAGCGCGCGGGGCGUGCGGAGUGGGUGAGUGGGUGCGUAUGGGCGCGCGCUGGCGUGUGUGGGCACGCGGGUAUAAAGCCCUCACCUCACCAGUGUAUUGUGCUAUGUGUUCGAGUUCGAGUUCGAGGAGAAAACAGAAAAAACGUCGUUCGUGCGGCAGGGUGUUUGAGUGCCUGAAAAUCCUCUUUGUCCUUCUUCUUCCUCUCCGACCUUGUCUCCGCUGAUCGCCGUCGUCUGCUAGGGCUAGCUGCGCCAACACCCAGGCUGCAGCCAUGUUUCUGCCGCCAACCAUCUCUCUCCGAUGCCCCACGCUCAGUCCCCCCACGAAAGCCCUCAUCUCCGUAGCCCUCGUGCUUCCCAAACACACCUUCUCACUUCCUCCCAGUGACCUAGGCCAUGGCUCUCCUUCGAGCUGCCACAAGGCCGACUGGCCACGCGCGACGCGGGUAGGGGCACAGUGUUGCAAGGGCGACACGGCAGCGCCAAGCUGCAUCCGACAUGGCUACAAGAUGCAAGAUCUCGCAUGGCGGCGAGCUGCAACAAUCAUGGCGCGACGAGCUGGAACCAUAGUUGUGGAGGUUGCUAAAACCGUGAAAUCGGCUUGCUGGAACUGUGACCGCGGCGAGCUGGAACCAUGGUCGUGGGUUGCUGCAACCAUUGACAUGAAAAGCUUCCACCGUAUAUGAGAAAAGUUUCAAUCAGCAAUAGAAAAUGCUUCAACCAGGGCACUGCGCAAGAGAAAAUAUUACGACCAUUGACGUGAAAGCUUCCUCCAUAAAUGAAAAAACAGGAAAAGGUACAAUCACUGACAGAGAAAGCUUCAACCAUAGUUGGAAUAAGCUUCAACCUGCGACAGAACAAGCUGCGGGGCGAGUCGAUGACCCACACGGCGGUUUUGCACCCCACGUGUUGCGACGGUAGAGUUGCGGCGAGCUGACGCAGACGACAUGCGAGAUAGGAGGGUGCUGUUGUGGGGCUGAACCCGUCCAAUGGCAGAUCUGCUGUUCUAGAUGUGGAAUCCAUGGCAACAUGAGAAGAAGGCGUGCUCAUAGAUGAAGGGGAGAAUGAAGACGACGAGCAGCGAUGUGAGUUGCUUCUUUGCAAGAGGACGGCUGUAGCCCUCGCCGGAGCGCAUACAUGUCAUUGCUGAGGGCAGAGACACCUGUGGCAGGGCGAGGGCUAGCAGGCAGAAAGAGAAUCGUGUUUCCUUUUUGCGUUGACCAAGAGGAAGGAGACGAUUCCGAAAGAGGCAUCUUACGAUGCGGAUGGCUCAAUCUAGUGGCUGGGCAGCAGCCAGCCGGGUGCUUGCGCCGGUCUACCGACACCUACAGCCCGCCAAAAAAUCAAGCGCGGUUUUUUCGACAAUGUAAUACUUUAUUUCUUAGAUAAGGUGAAAAAUAAAGUCCGGGAUAGCAUCUUCCCAAACCACAGAGGAUCUAAUAGACAAGGAUGAUUUAGCUAUACAAUCAAGCCCCGGUUGAUUACAUGUUGUGUCUGUUGACUAAGUGUUGUCAAUGAUAUUGAGACAUAAGAGGAGGAAUACAUGAAGCUAUUAUCAGAAAGAACAAUUCCCAGAGAUCAUAUGGGACCCUCUAUAAAAAACAUGAAUUUAGAGUUUGAACUAUGAAGCUCGAAACUGUUUUUGAGACAACGAAGCUCGCAACUAAGCUUUUUUUAAGACUGACUCGCUACCUUUAUUAUGUCAUCACCACAUAUACAGGGACGAAAAUAAGGUUUCCGGGUUGGCCUAACCAUGCACGGCGGCGAACCCCUAAAGUCAGACCAUGUUUAGCAAGAUUGUGAGCCUCAACAUUUGAGGUUCAAAACUCGUGACUAAUGAUAUAAUAAUUAAAACUAGAAAUAUGCUCUCUAAUCUCAUUAAUCACCGCAUCAUAAGGGGGUGCGCUACCGCUACUAAUAGCAUCAAGCACUACCUUGCAAUCUGGACCAUGAAGAUCCUUUGAGAGUAUGUGUCCUCCGCAAGAGCCAUUGUCUCCCGUAUUGCUAACGCCUCAAGAAUGGGGGGUCUAUUAUGCAAGGGGAAAACAUAGUGGAAGCUCCAAUGAACAUCCUGUCUUGGUCUCGACAGAUCACCACUAAAGCCCCAAACUUCCCAUUCCUCGAGAUGGCAACAUCAACAAUCAUCUUUACAUAGCUCGUCGGCGGUGAAAUCCAGUGGUUCGGUUUGGCGACCGCAAAAGCUUGCCUUGUCUUGUUAUUCUUCUGCAUGAGCCCGUUUAUCGGACGUUUAUCGACCGUUUACCGACCAAGGACUCCGGAAAAUGUCCUCAUGAAUAGCUUUUCUUCGUGAACUACAAAUUGCCCAUAGAAAAGUUUACGAACCAGAAUUACCAUUCCCUCAUGGUUCCCAAUUCCGGCGGGCGGGGGUACCUUGCGGGUGAGCGACUCAACCUUGGCCCUGACAAGGUCGAGCCCGUCCUUCAUCUCCUUGAGGGCGGCGAGCAGCUUGGGCGCGUCAUCGCUGCAAAUCGAACAACAACCAAAGCCUAAGCCGCGUUACUUCUCCAUUCUUUCCAGGAAAGAGAUCCUUUAGCUCCCACCAGGAACGUACGCGCGGAGCUUACCGCACGAGGGGCUGAGUUUUCCUCUCGUCGUCUGCUCCGGCGAUGGCGGCCAUCGUCGCCGUUCGCUGCCUACCAGAGACGGGGAAAGGCCAGGGGGUCGCCGAUUAGGCGCGACCAAGCUAGCAAACGAGACGCCAGGCGCCGGUGCUGCGGAAGAGGGCGCCGCCAUGAUUUGGUUGGAAGAACCCCUAGCCAGCUCACCGCCCGCAGCAAGCUGGUUUCUUCAGGGUCCGCCGCACGGUGAGGGAUAACCCCAGGGCUUCUCAUCACUCACCAAUUAUGGGCCCAUCUCUUCCAUGUCGAGGCCCAUGCCGUCAAUGGCUUUGGAGACGUGGGUGGGAAAACCGAAAAAGAGGGAGCGAUGGUGCGCGCGCGAUCUGAUUCUGAUCGGAUGGAUUCAGCGGGAGGUGGUGGGUGGGAGGCCGAAAAUUUUGAACCCAAGAAGAAGGGGUGACGGGCGCGCGUGCACAAUUUCCCGCUUGCCGCCGGGGGCUCGCUCUGACGCAGCCGACGCCGCACACUGCCGCCUCAACUGAUUGUCCGGGGUCCCGCGUCAGGGCAUUUAGGGGCUGUUUGGUUGUUGCCCAGGAGUGCCAUGCAAAAUCGUGGGCGUCGCAGGCGCACCAAAAAGUUGGCGGCCGAUCUGGCCGUCCCAGUUUCGCUGGCGCAGAAGUACAGAGGAAAAGGCACUAUACACAACAUAUUUUGUGUUUAUCUAAAAAAAAUUGACGUCGUCUCUCAUUAAAAUGUAUGGUACGGUUUUUUUAAAAAAUUAACUAAUAAUUUGUAAUCUAUAUGCCACAAAAAAUAUACCAUGGAAAAUCUCUUUCAAAUACAAAUCCAUACAUAUACUUUUCAUGUCAUAUAAUUUAUUGUUAGUUUUACAGAUGAUCAAAGUUUGACCUAAAAUAUGAAGGGAGCCAAUAAACCCGGACGGAGUGAUAUAACGUAUCUUAGACCUACAAGAAGAUUCAGAUUUGACAUUAACUUACAAAAAGUCAACACAGACUAAUAAUAAUAGAUACUACUAUUGUCAACAGCUGCACAGGAACAAAUCUUGAUCCAUAAUUUUGCAUACACUGAGCCACACUCGUCUAUUUGUCAGAUAUCCUGCCAGCAACUGCAAUUUUCAAAACGACGUUAAACGAUGGACCCGAUUAUGAAUUUGCUGCCUCUUUUUCCCAAGAUGCAAUUUUAGAACAGUUAAACGAAGGAUAAGCAGAUUUAGUUACACUUCUGCCAUACUAUUCCCUGCUUAGUUCAUUGCCUAUGGUAUUCACUAUUUCAGCCAACCAGGCCUGGCAAGAUUUGUGACAACUGCGAUCCCCGAAUUGAAGAGACCUAACAGAGAGAUUCAAUAACAUGAGUGGCAUACAAAUAGCAGUACGAGAAUAUAUAGUUCCGAUCGAUACAACAUCAUCACUUGCGACAUAAACUUAAGAUGCAAUAGUUGAUCAAAAAACAUAGAGAUUGGAUUUUCAACACCCGGGUGCCUAGGCACCCGGUUAUCUCCCCCGUCCGCCCAGAAAAUAGCUGCUCGGGAUCUGGACCAGGCCAUGUACAACUAGUUCUAUUAGCAGUCUAGGAUUUCUUUAAGCGCCGGCUCUGGGCCUAUUCUCGCACUGUUCAUCAUAGGGCAGAAUCCCACCUCCGCUGUAAGCGCCAGUCUACAUCAAGGAGUACACCUGCCGGCUCGUGUUUCAAACGGGUGAAAAGACGUGUCGAACUUCACCACGGACAUGCAUCGCCGAUGGAAGGAAUAGAAUAGACUGCAGCCGCUCAUGGUCCUUGAUGGGCGCUAAGAAGAUAGCCACAUCAUCGGCAUAUAAAGAGGUACGAGACAUGCUCCUCUCCCUCUCAAUCUUUGAAUGUGCCCAUUAGUCGUUGCCAUAUCCAAAAUUUGUUGCAGCGGGUCGAUAGUGAAAAUGAACAGCACACUAGUAGAAAACUGGGCUUUGGUCACAGGGCAAUAUUCACAUUAGUCCCGGUUCAAUCACGAACCGGGAUUAAUGUGAGCAUUGGUCCCGGUUCGUGCGGCCAGGGGCCUGCCGGGCCUCGUGGGGGCACUGGUCCCGCUUCGUCCGGACCCUUUGGUCCCGGUUGGUGGGACAAACCGGGACCAAUGGGCCACGCUCCUGGCCCACCACCCUUUAGUCCCGGUACAUACCACAAACCGGGACUAAAGGGCUGGUCCUAGUUGCGGCCAGUGUUUAGUCCCACCUCGCCAACCGAAGGUCGCUCACAUCAGUUUAUAAGCCCGUCCCUCUCUGCCUUGUUGAGCUCCUCUCAAAGUGAAAAUAGAUGCCCUUAUACAGGGAAUUCGACCUAAAUUCACAGUAAAUUUCUUUGAAUUUCAUAGAAAUUUAUUAUGAAUUUAGGUUGAAUUUUCUCUAUAGGCGCAUCUAUGUUCAUUUUUUAUAGUAAAUAAAUAAAUAAACCUUAAUAAAAUAAAUAAAAAUAAAUAAACCUUAAUAAAAUAAAUAAAAUAAACUAUAGUAACUAAAAUAAAUAAACCUUAAUAAAUUAAAUAAAAAUAGUAGCAGUAACAUAAAUAAAAAUAAAAUAACUAAAGUAAAAUACAUAAGUAAUUAGAAAUAAAAUAAAUAUGUUUUUUGCUGUAAGUAGAAACAAAACAAAACAAAUAAAGCAAAAGAGAAAACAAAAAACAGAGAAAAAAAUUAUGCCACCUACUAGGCCACCACGGCCUGAAUACGACUUGAAACCCAUACAUGGGCCAGGAUUCAGGCCCGCAGAAGGCCCCACAGGCAGAGAGAACGGUUAGGCCCGAAAGCCUGCAGUUGAGAGGAGCUCGAGAGUGUGGGCGCAGCACAGCUUAUAAACCACUCUCGAGCCCUCUCAACUAGCGAGGUGGGACUAAACUUUUGACGCGGGGCAGCACAAGGCCUUUGAUCCCGGUUGGUGCCACCAACCGGGAUUAAAGGGGGCAUUGGUCCCGGGCCUUUAGUCCCGGUUGGUGCCACGAACCGGGACCAACGAGUUUCCUAUAUAUACCCCAUCGCCACAGCAGAGCAAUCCACAGAGCUCUGUUUUUUCUGGCCGGCGAGGGGAGGGCAUUUGGGUGCUCUAGCUCACCUCCUAUGCACAUGAGGUGUUCGAUGAAAUGUCUCAGCCACACUAGUUAAUCUUUCUCCUCUGGAAACUCGACCUCCGAGCUCCAUUUCCCCCAAGAUUUGUCUAGGUUUAGCGGUCCGUCACGUCCCGUCCCCGUCUUCACCGCCGUCGAUCACCCGCGCCGAUCUUGUCGCCAGCACCACCGUGGUGAGACUCUUGUUCUUAUCUUCUUUCUGAAAGGAAAAAAUUCUUACUUUAGAUAGAUACUUGUCUAAUUUUGUUACUUUUAUUAUUCCUUCUUAUUACAUAGUGCGAUGGUUUUGGUAUCCGCCCCCGUCGGCCCUCGUCCUGUGUAUGAUUCGGAUGUGGUAUAUAUUAUCUUUUUAUAACUAUUUGGUUCAUUUAUUGUUUAUGACAAAUAUACCGACCAACGUGACAUAGAUUUUAUUUAUCUAGGAGGUGGUUGAACCGGAAAUUCUAACCGACCCUAUUGUCGAGAGGUUAAAUUUAGUUGAAGAAGAAAACAAUUACUUGAAGGAAAAAAUAAAAAAAAUUGAGGAGGAGAAGAUGAUAUUGGAGUUGCAUGUUGCGGAUGUCGUCGAUGAUCACAAGAUCAAGAUGGAUGCAAUGCGCUUGAAGAUUAGAAAGAUUAGAAAAUAUGCCAUUCAUACCGAGGCUUGGUAUCAUUAUGCCGUUGGAUCAAUUGUUACCUUGGUUGCGAUUAUGAUCGCAUUUGUUUUCGCAUUGAAAUGUUUUACAUAGUUUCAAUGUAUGGUUUAAUUAAUUAGAUGCUCUGGAGAGCUAUAUAUAUGUUGUUAGAUGAGAACUAUGUAUGUACUUUGGUUUUAAUGUGAUGAUGAACUUCUAUUAAUUUGGUCACUUAAUUAUCUAUUCAUGAUGUUCUAUAAUGGUUUUUGACACACUUAAUUAUAUAUAAUGCACGCAGAUGAACCGGCAAUGGAUGUACGGUGACAGACAAACCUCCGAGUACAUUAAGGGCGUGCAUGAUUUUCUCGAAGUGGCUGAGGCAAACAAGCAGAAUGGUUUUAUGUGUUGUCCAUGCCCUAUAUGUGGGAAUACGAAGUCUUACUCUGACCGGAAAAUCCUUCACACCCACCUGCUUUACAAGGGUUUCAUGCCACACUAUAAUGUUUGGACGAGGCACGGAGAAAUAGGGGUUAUGAUGGAAGACGGCGAAGAAGAAGAGGAUGAUGACAACUAUGUGCCCCCUGAAUACGGUGGUGCUGCAACGGGGGAAGCUGCUGAAGAUCAAGAGGAACCAGACGAUGUGCCCAAUGAUGCUGCAAGGGGGGAAGCUGCUGAAGAUCAAGAGGAACCAGUACCCGAUGAUGAUGAUCUCCGCCGGGUCAUUGUCGAUGCAAGGACGCAAUGCGAAAGUCAAAAGAAGAAGCUGAAGUUCGAUCGCAUGUUAGAGGAUCACAAAAAAGGAUUGUACCCCAAUUGCGAAGAUGGCAACACAAAGCUCGGUACCGUACUGGAAUUGUUGCAGUGGAAGGGAGAGAAUGCUGUGCCUGACAAAGGAUUUGAGAAGCUAUUGAAAAUAUUGAAGAAGAAGCUUCCAAAGGAUAACGAAUUGCCCGACAGUACAUACGCAGCAAAGAAGUUCGUAUGCCCUCUAGGAUUGGAGGUGCAGAAGAUACAUGCAUGCCCUAAUGACUGCAUCCUCUACCACGGUGCGUACAAGGAUCUGAACGCAUGCCCGGUAUGCGGUGCAUUGCGGUAUAAGAUCAGACGAGAUGACCCUGGUGAUGUUGACGGCGAGCCCCCCAGGAAGAGGGUUCCUGCGAAGGUGAUGUGGUAUGCUCCUAUAAUACCACGUUUGAAACGUCUGUUCAGAAACGAAGAGCAUGCCAAGUUGAUGCGAUGGCACAGUGAGGACCGUAAGAAAGACGGGAAGUUGAGAGCACCCGCUGACGGGUCGCAGUGGAGAAAAAUCGAGAGAAAGUACUGGGUUGAGUUUGCAGCUGACCCAAGGAACGUAUGGUUUGGUUUAAGCGCGGAUGGCAUUAAUCCUUUCGGGGAGCAGAGCAGCAAUCACAGCACCUGGCCCGUGACUCUAUGUAUGUAUAACCUUCCUCCUUGGAUGUGCAUGAAGCGGAAGUUCAUUAUGAUGCCAGUUCUCAUCCAAGGCCUUAAGCAACCCGGCAACGACAUUGAUGUGUACCUAAGGCCAUUAGUUGAAGAACUUUUACAGCUGUGGAAUGGAAACGGUGUACGUACGUGGGAUAAGCACAAACAGGAGGAAUUUAACCUGCAUGCGUUGCAGUUUGUAACCAUCAAUGAUUGGCCCGCUCUCAGUAACCUUUCAGGACAGACAAACAAGGGAUACCACGCAUGCACGCACUGUUUAGAUGACACUGAAAGUAUAUACCUGGACAAAUGCAGGAAGAAUGUGUACCUGGGCCAUCGUCGAUUUCUUCCGACCAACCAUCAAUGUCGAAAGAAAGGCAAGCAUUUCAAAGGCGAGGCAGAUCACCGGAAGAAGCCCGCCAUGCGUACCGGUGAUCACGUACUUGCUAUGGUCAAUAAUUUACACGUAAUCUUUGAAAAGGGUCCCGGCGGACUAGCUGUUCCGAAUGACGCUGAGGGACACGCACCCAUGUGGAAGAAGAAAUCUAUAUUUUGGGACCUACCCUACUGGAAAGAGCUAGAGGUCCGCUCUUCAAUCGACGUGAUGCACGUGACGAAGAACCUUUGCGUGAACCUGCUAGGCUUCUUGGGCGUGUAUGGGAAGACAAAAGAUACACCUGAGGCAUGGGAGGACCUGCAACGUUUGCACGAAAAAGACGGCAUGCCUCCGAAGUAGUAUGAAGGUCCUGCCAGCUACGCUCUUACGAAAGAAGAGAAAUAAAUCUUCUUUGAGUGCCUGCUCAGUAUGAAGGUCCCGACUGGCUUCUCGUCGAAUAUAAAGGGAAUAAUAAAUAUGCCAGAGAAAAAGUUCCAGAACCUAAAGUCUCAUGACUGCCACGUGAUUAUGACGCAACUGCUUCAGGUUGCAUUGAGGGGGCUUCUACCGGAAAACGUCCGAUUAGCCAUUGUGAAGCUAUGUGCAUUCCUCAAUGCAAUCUCUCGGAAGGUGAUCGAUCCAGAAAUCAUACCAAGGCUAAGGAGUGAUGUGGCGCAAUGUCUUGUCAGUUUCGAGCUGGUGUUCCCACCAUCCUUCUUCAAUAUCAUGACGCACGUCCUAGUUCAUCUAGUCGACGAGAUUGUCAUUCUGGGGCCCGUAUUUCUACACAAUAUGUUCCCCUUUGAGAGGUUCAUGGGAGUCCUAAAGAAAUAUGUCUGUAACCGCGCUAGGCCAGAAGGAAGCAUCUGCAUGGGCCAUCAAAAAGAGGAUGUCAUUGGGUUUUGUGUUGACUUCAUUCCUGGCCUUAAGAAGAUAGGUCUCCCUAAAUCGCGGUAUGAGGGGAGACUGACUGGAAAAGGCACGCUUGGAGGGGACUCAAUAAUAUGCAGGGACGAAUAUUCUUGGUCUCAAGCACACUACACAGUUCUACAGAACUCUACCUUGGUGACCCCGUAUGUCGAUGAACACAAGAACAGUCUGCGCUCCAAACACCCGGAGCAGUGUGACGACUGGAUUACAUGUGAACACAUCAGGACUUUCAACAGUUGGUUGGAAACACGUCUCAGAGGUGACACCACUGUUUGUGAUGAGUUGUACUCGUUGUCCAGGGGACCAUCUUCGACUGUAUUGAUUUACAAAGGAUACGAGAUAAAUGGGAAUACAUUUUACACGAUCGCCCAAGAUCAAAAGAGCACCAACCAAAACAGCGGUGUCCGCUUUGAUGCAGCAACCGAGAGGGGAAAGGACACAUAUUAUGGUUACAUAAUGGACAUAUGGGAACUUGACUACGGACAUGAUUUUAAGUUCCCUUUGUUUAAGUGCAAAUGGGUCAAUCUGUCAGGAGGCGGGGUACAGGUAGACCCACAGUACGGAAUGACAACAGUGGAUCUGAACAAUCUUGGGUACACUGACGAACCGUUCGUCCUAGCCAAUGAUGUGGCACAGGUUAUCUAUGUGAAGGACAUGUCUACCAGACCGAGAAAAAGAAAAGAUAAGGAAGCGAAUACAUCAUACGAUGAGCCAAAGCGCCACAUAGUUCUUUCAGGAAAAAGGGACAUUGUGGGAAUGGAGGGCAAGACUGACAUGUCUGAAGAUUAUGAAAAGUUUCAUGAAAUUCCUCCCUUCAAAGUCAAGGCCGACCCAAGCAUCCUGAUAAACGAUGAAGAUUAUCCAUGGUCACAGCGCAAUAAGCAAAUGACACAAGCGAAGAAAAAGUGAAGACUUUCUCCCGCAACUAUUAUGAUGAUACCAUGCCAACUUUGUAACAGACGAGUAUGAUACCAUUGUCCGUUUUGUACACGAAGUGCAUCCAGUUUUUGCCGUAACCCUCUCAACUUUCUUGCACAUGCUAUGUGGAUGAAAUGAUGAUACCAUGCCAACUUUCAACCUUUUCAGAGUUCAUUUGAAAUGCUUUUCAAUUUUAGGGUCUUAUAGCUCAAAAUAAUUAGUAAAUGCAUGAAAAAUAACAGGCCAAAAAUUAAAAAUUAUGCCACCUACUGGGCCACCACGGCCUGAAUACGAUUAGAAACCCAUCCAUGGGCCAGGAUUCAGGCCCGCAGAAGGCCCAGUAGGCCCACAGGCAUAUACAGAGAGGUGAGGCCCGUAAGCCUGCUUUAGAGAGGAGCUCGACAGCUCAGGCGCACCGGACCUUAUAAACAGGUCCGGCUCUCUCUCAGCUAGCGAGGUGGGACUAAACUCCUACCACCACGCCGCUGUGCAAGGCCAUUGGUCCCGGUUGGUGGCACGAACCGGGACCAAUUCCACCAUUUGGUCCCGGUUGGUGCCACGAACGGGUACUGAUGAGGCUGUGGCCCCACGAGCACCUUUAGUACCGGUUCGUGGCACGAACCGGUACUAGAGUUUCUGACUAAGCAGUUUUUUAGUCCCACCUCGCUAGCUGAGAGGCACUAGGAGCGGUUUAUAAGCCCUGAGUGCAGAGACGAUGAAGAAGAGGUGCAAUGCUCACCUUCACGUUGCUUAGCUUCAAGCCUUGAGGAAUAAGGUAGACUGCAUGGAGCUAUGUGCAGUGCAGUCUACACUAUUCCGAAAGGCUUGAAGCAAAUCAACGAGCAUUGCACCUCUUUUUUAUUUUUAAUAACUUAUUACAACUUCGGACUUCUUGUGUUACGACAAAAUAAAAUAAACUUUAAUAAAUUUAUGAAAGUAAAAUUAACAAAGUAUUUUCUGUUCAAAACAUUAUAAGAAACCUCUAGUAUUAUUGAAACUAAAAUCAUAUAAAAUUGAUGCAACUAAAAUUAUCAUAAAGUAAAGAAUUAUCAUAAAGUAAAAUAAAUAAGUAAUUAGAAACAAAAUAAAAUAAAAUAAAUAAGUUUUUUGUUGUAAGUAGAAACAAAACAAAAUAAAUAAAGAAAACAAAAAACUAAAUACAGCAAAAAGAAUUUUCAUAAAGAACUUUUUUUGAUAGAAACUUUAAUAGCAAAAAGAAUUAUCAUAAAGUAAAAUAAAUAAGUAAUUAGAAACAAAAUAAAAUAAAAUAAAUAAGGUUUUUGUUGUAAAUAGAAACAAAACAAAAUAAAUAAAGCAAAAAAGAAAACAAAAAAACUAAAUACGGCAAAAACAAUUGUUGGGGCGUUGCCCGCUGGGCCCUCCAACCCUCGGGUUUGCAAAUACAGGCCCAGAAGGGCUAGAGGGCUCAACAGGCAGCGCGCCAAAGUUAGGCCCAGAAGCCUUCUAGAGGAGUUCGAGACAGCAGCCGCGCCGGGGCUUUUAGACUGGUACGGGCGCCCCUCGGCUAGCGAGGUGGGACUACACUUUUGGCCGCGACGCGGGCAGCAUGAGGCCUUUGGUCCCGGUUGGUCCACCAACCGGGACUAAAGGGGUGCAUUGGUACCGGUUCGUGGCACCAACCGGGACCAAUGCCCCCCCUUUAGUCCCGGUUGGUGCCAUCAACCGGGACCAAAGGCCGCCGCUUCCCGCCAUUUGCGCUGCUGAAAAGUGGGCUUUGGUCCCGGUUGGUGGCACCAACCGGGACUAAUGCCUACCUAUAGUCCCGGUUGGUGCCACGAACCGGGACUAAAAGCUUUGCUAUAUAAGUUCACACUUAGGAAAUUUUCAGAGUUACCUAGCAGUUGCCGCCCCGACGACGCCUACGCCGCCAGGCUGCCCCGACGCCGCCCGCCGCCCCCGCCGUCGCCGUCGCCGUCGCCCAUGCCUGUCGUNNNNNNNNNNNNNNNNNNNNNNNNNNNNNNNNNNNNNNNNNNNNNNNNNNNNNNNNNNNNNNNNNNNNNNNNNNNNNNNNNNNNNNNNNNNNNNNNNNNNNNNNNNNNNNNNNNNNNNNNNNNNNNNNNNNNNNNNNNNNNNNNNNNNNNNNNNNNNNNNNNNNNNNNNNNNNNNNNNNNNNNNNNNNNNNNNNNNNNNNNNNNNNNNNNNNNNNNNNNNNNNNNNNNNNNNNNNNNNNNNNNNNNNNNNNNNNNNNNNNNNNNNNNNNNNNNNNNNNNNNNNNNNNNNNNNNNNNNNNNNNNNNNNNNNNNNNNNNNNNNNNNNNNNNNNNNNNNNNNNNNNNNNNNNNNNNNNNNNNNNNNNNNNNNNNNNNNNNNNNNNNNNNNNNNNNNNNNNNNNNNNNNNNNNNNNNNNNNNNNNNNNNNNNNNNNNNNNNNNNNNNNNNNNNNNNNNNNNNNNNNNNNNNNNNNNNNNNNNNNNCCCUGCCCCGACGCGCGCCGCCCCGGCCCGUCCCCGUCGUCGCCGUCGCCCUGCCCCGCCCUUCGCCGCCGACGCCUCUGCCCCUGCCCCGACUAUGCCGCCGUCGCCUUGGUCAGGGUCGGCACUGCCCCCUAAUUCCUUCAUGUUUUUUCUGCACAUUUAUAUGCUUAAUUAUAUGUAUAUGUAUGAGUAUAUGUAUGUGUGUAUAUCUGUUUAUAUGUCCUUUUUUAGAUCUUUUUUCUGCAUUUUCUCUGUGUAUAUGUAUGUAUAUAUGUUCUCUGUGUACAUAUGCUUGUUUUUUUAUAUAUAUGAUGAUAUAUAUGUAAUGAUUUUUUUAUAGAAUAUGAUGUUUUUUUCAUAGAUGAUCACAUAUAUGAUGUAUGCAUGGAUGUGGAUGAAAUAUGAUUUUUUUUUGUUCAUAGAACAUGAUGAAAUAUGAACAAUGCAUUAGGCAAAACCUUUACUUUUUUUCGAAAUAUGAACAUGAUGAAAUAUGAACAAUGAAAUAUGAACAAUGAUGAAAUAGGAAGAAAGGAGAAGAAGAGAGAGGAAGAAGAGGAGAAAUAAAUAAGAAGAGGAAAAAAGAAGAAAAAGAAGAGGAGAAGAAGAAAGGAAUAGAAGAG